GUAAGUGUUUCACUAUCUCAUCAUUUCAAAUUCCAAAUUUCCAUAGUGUUGGGUUACCUUGUGGAAUAAUUUUGUGAUUCAUUUAUGUGCUUUGGUCUAUAACAGAGCAUACCUAUAUGGUGGAGAUGGUACUACUGGGCUUGUCCAGUAGCAUGGACCUUGUAUGGAUUGGUUGUAUCACAGUUUGGAGAUAUCCAGAAACCACUUUCCGAAACUCAAACAGUAGAAAAAUAUGUGAAGGAAUAUUUUGGUUUCGACCAUGAUUUUCUUGGAGUAGUCGCAGGGGCACAUGUUGGGUGGACUGCCCUCUUUGCUUUCAUAUUUGCCUUUGCUAUCAAGGCUUUCAACUUCCAGAGGCGAUAGAAAUUUUAUUUAUACACACACAUAUAUAUGCUUUUACUUUAUUUUUAAUUCGUUUACUUUCUGUAUAGGCUAUGUAGGUUUUAUUGUCAAUUUCGCAAGGCGCUUAAAGCUAUAUUAAUACGAGUACAAGAAUUUCUUGGUAUUGCUUUAAAGCUUGCCUAAAGCAAUGAAUGCCCCCCUUCUUCUUGGCAUAUUUAUAUAUAUAUUUUUAAUUAUUGCAUGUCUGCUUUUGAAUCUGCCGAACAGUGUAUGCUUAUUUUCCAUUUGAUAAUAAAGAGAAACCUCAGGUCAUCCGUCCAAGAUCGGAAAAAUUGUGAGUACGUACAUUGCUUCCAUAAAGACCAAAUACCAACAGCCUAAUAAAUCACAAUCGUUCAGGAGAACAAUAUUUUAGAGAAGAUCGACACACAAAUCAUCGCAGUUUUCAUCUAGUUGGGUACCUUAAUUCCUCUUCCACAAAUUAAGUUUAGCAGGGAGAGAAUUCUUACAGGUUCUCCAAACAAAGUUCUCAGCGUGCGGAGGAACCUAGAGGUGCCACAUUUGCCUCUACCAUGACCUUGUUUUGCUGAGAAAUUGCCUCAGAAAUACCAACCCGAUCAAACUGCACAACCAUGUUGACUAAUUGCUUGUGCGUUUGGUUUGUGUGAGGACAAAGGAUCUGUCUCGAUUGGCAGAUGGCGGGUCUUCCAUUGGAGAUAGCAUUGAUGAACCUUGGAGUACAGUUGCCCGUGGGUUAGAUGAGAGUGUACUUGUCUUUUGUCUGAGUUGAAAUAAAUAAAUAAGAAAAAGGAAUAUUAAUAAUUAAUAGGAUUAAUUAGGAUUUUUCCUACAGUCAAUAACAAGAGUAUUACAAUUUUCAUGAUCGAUGAUGAAGGAAUAUUUCGAUCAUUUGACAAAACUGAGGAAUUUCGAUCAUUCAUUGUGGGACGAAGGAUUGCAGAUGAGCUUUACAUCCCAUUUGACAAAACUAGGAAUCAUCCAGCUGCUUUGGCAACCAAACAGUAUGGGAUUAGAAUGUUAGAUCUGAUUAAAGCUAACUUGUCAAGAGAAUACAUGAUCAUGAAGAGGAACUCCUCGAAAUUGUAAUGGUCCUCUUCAUUCUAGCAAAUUACAAGUGCUUGUCUUAUUUAUAGCGUUACUGGAAACUUUCAGAUGUUCAUUGAUGAAGUCAGGGAGCUUGUCGAGUUGAAUUCAUUGCAGCAAGCACUAGAUGGGUUGCCUGGUGCGAAUAUUGGUCUAUCCACCGAGCAGCUCAAGCGGCUAACAAUUGCGGUUGGAACUUAAUGCAAAUCCCUCUAUAAUUCAUGGACGAGCCAACUUCAGGACUAGAUGCUAGAGCUGCUGCAAUUGUGAUGAAAACUGCUAUGAACACAGUGGACACAUGAAGAACAGUUGUAUGCACCAUCCAUCAGCCCGACUUGAACAUAUUUGAAGCUUUCGAUGAGGUAAAAGUUGUAAACAGAUUCUCCCAAUCAGAACAUUGCUGUGCGUUCAUCAGAAAAAUAAUUUGGAUUUUUUUGACUCGGUAUUAUAGCUAUUCCUGAUGAUGCAAGGAGGACAAGAGAUAAUGUAGGGACGUUGGGUCCUACUCUACUCAUUUAAUUAUGAAAAGGUAUAGUUACAUUGAUCAAGUUUUAAUAAAUUUACUUUUUAAAAAUCACCAGUUUGAAUUUUAAAAACGUUAAAAUCACUAAAGUUUUAUAUAAUUAUUAACUCCAGGAUUUCGAAAGAUUAAGUGUAUAAACUAACUUAAUCACUUACAAUUACCAAAAAAAAAAAAACAAAAAAACUUCGAGGUUUGCUUGAUAUGAUCAAUAAUAUGUAAACACAAACAACUUAAUAUUUUUUAGCGUAAUUACUUAUUAUAUUAUCAAUAUUAGGUAAUUGAAAAAUUACAACUCCAAUACUUUUUAGCGUGGUAAUGUGAUGUAAAUCUUUUUAAAAAAAUAUAUUUGAACUAAAAAAAUAUCAAAUUAAUAUUUUUUUUACUAAAUAUUAAUAAAAAAUAUUUACAAAUAUUAAAUUGAUACUUUUAUAAUAACAAGUAUAGCGUAAAUUCAUUGAAAUGUUUCUUUCUUUUUCUUCUUCUUGUUUUUUUUUUUUUGUUGUGAAUCCAUGUUGUCUAAUAAUAAAAAUACUUUUCUUAAGUAUCAUGGUGUCAUUGGGUCAAUUUUCUUUCACGAUGAUAACAAAAGAAUUGAACCUACUUAAUAAUUACAAUCUAAAAUAAUACCACAAUUAGCAACAUUACCAAGUUGAUUAAUUAAUUUAAUUUGCAAAACCUUUUAUUCUUACACCAACAGUUUGUGGGAUUUUUCAAAUAUUUAAAAUUCAAAUUUCUCUAUAAUUUCUUAUAAUUCAACACAGACAAUCAGUAAUUCUGGCCAGCACCUCACAAUUGGGAAGUCCUCUAUUGUGUUCCAAAAAAAACUAUUAAAAAAUAAAAACAAGGAAGUAGUCCUCUAUUUAUUUAUGCAUUUUCUAGCUGGUUGUUAAGGGAAAAAAAAAAGAAAAUUCAAAGAGCCCAUCUAAAUUGUAGAAUAUUAUAUGGUCGGAGGUCAAUAGUCAAUGGGCUCUUUUCCAUGCUACUACUGCUUGCCUACUUUGCAUCAUAUUUCACGAAAAUAUUUAUGAAUGUUUUUUUUUUUAGUUAAGAUUAUGGUUGCGAUUGGAUAUAAUGUAUAAAAUUCAUUAAUAAAACCUAAUUUUUCUUGUUUUUUGUAGUUUUUUUGACGAGCUUCAUGUACAAACCUCAACCUCAAUUACAAAAACAAACAGACUCGCGUGUGACAGGUUAAAUAUGCUUGCGGCUAGAUUAAGAAGUGUUUGAGAACGUUGGUGACCGCGUGUUCUAAAAUUUUUUGAAUAUUAUUUUUGUUAAGAUUUAAUUUGUUUUAUGUUUUUUUAAUUAUUUUAAUGUGUUAAUAUUAAAAAUAAAUUUUAAAAAAUAAAAAAUAUUAUUUAAAUACAUUUACAAAUAAAAAAUAUUUUACAAAACAAUUAUUAUCAUAAUAUCAAACAGAAACUAAAUAAAAAUAUCGGUUUUACAGGCUUCUAUUUCUAAAUCAAGUUUUCAAAUACAUUGCAUGAGCCAUUUUCAAAGUUUAUUGUCUUUUUGCCAACACCAAAAUCAUAUUGUUAUUAUUAGAUUCAUAAUAAUUGUUAUUAUUAUAUAGAUAUGAGGGAAUGUAUUAAAUGAUACAAUCAACUAUUAUAUUUAGAUUCACUUGUUAAUUAUAUGGAUUUAUUUUAUAUUUUUUCUUAUUAUAUUUCUAUAUAAAUUUUACAAAAUACUGCCUGUAUUCAUUUCUAUUAAUUUAUAAAGUUUUUAUUUUUCUACGUAUACACCUCAUCGUAUUUCUUUGUCCCUUUUUUUUUUUUUUUUUAUUAUAAAAGGAGGAGGCAUCACGGUAGUUUAUUGGUCUAUGCAAAACGUGGUAAACACGAGACGAUACCAUUGACUGGUCUAUGUCAUUAGAUCAAAGCAAGGAAACAUUUCAGGUCAAGGAGACUCUUUUUUUGUUCUUAAAAUACACCCUCCUAUCAUUUAUCACUAUCCUUUUCUGAUCAAAUAAUACGAAAAAAAAAAAAAUACCAUAAGUAUUUAUCUAUUCAUUUCCCUCUGAAGAAUCUUCUAACGAUUCUCUUUCAUCCUUUUAUUUUGUUUUUUCUCUAAAUUCUCAUUUUAACUAUGUUCAAUAGAAAUUUAAACAUGGUCAACUGUUCAAAUCAUAUAUAUAUUUUUUUUAAAGUAAAUUAUGGUAAGGCAUUGUUAUUAUUAUUAUUAUUAACUUUAAAGGGUUGGUCUAGCAAAUAUCAGAUAGGGCUUGAGAGUUUUCUUCUUUCAGAUCUCAAGUUCAAAUUCUCUCGCAACCAAAAACUAUUGGGCCUGUCAUAACCCAAUUUUGGGUUAUUCUCCAAAAUUCACUUUUAAAAAAAAUAAAAAUAAAAAAAUAGAAUAAAGGCUGGUACUGUGGAGAAAGCCAAUAAAAAAAGACUGCAAAAAUAGACAAAAAUCGAAGGUCAAAUUAAAUGCAUAUUCGAAGGUCAAAUUAAAUGAUUAUUGGAUGAAUUUGCAUAAAAAUUAAGUCCAAUGACAUAAUUAAAUUUUUGAUGGGCCAAUUUGAUUUAAUCUUGGGCCAAAUUAAAUUUUAAUUAUGUUUAAGAAUUAAUUUAGGUCCAAUUGAAGGAUUUAAUUAAGUGCAAGGACUUAAUUAUACUUUAAAUGGGUCAAAUUAAUUUGGGGGCUUAAUUGGUGAAAAAUUAAGUUUGGCAGCCUAAUUUGGACUUAAUUGAAAAGAUUGAAAUUUUAAGACCAAAUUUAAUUUUUACCAAGUGAAUUGAACAUAAAAAUUGAGGGACCAAUUUGGAAGCUAGAAAAUUUUUUUGCCUAUAAAUAGCACCUUUUAACUCAAAGUUAAGGGAGUUCAUUUUGUAAUUUUAGGAGGAAAGAGAGAACCCUAAAAAACUAAACUUUUCUUCUUCCCUACUGAAGGCAGACGCCAGGGAGAACCCCCCCCCUUUUGGGAAAUUUUUUCCUUCUUCUCCGAUCACAGCUGCCAGCUCCCCUUUUGAUUUAUUUUUCCUUCUCCCUCAGCCGGUUCUCUUGAACCGUGGCCGCCGUCCCUCUCUUUUCUCAAGCAACAAGAACCGGCCGUCCCCCUCACUUCUUUUUAUUCUUGGUCCAGUAACCAGUCAAGUCUUCCUCUUCUUUUGCCCGAAACCAGCGACGACACCUACUGCUCCAGCCCCAGCAACCGACCAACCCUCAGUCGACCAAGUAUUCCCUCUGCAAAAGAGAACCAGACCAUACCCCAUCGCCUCUGCCUCUUUGCUCAACAGCUGUAGCCACCUCAACAUCAACGCCGUUCCUCUACCUCUCCGUCCCCAGCUAGAAUUUCUUCACCUUCAGCCCACAGACCAGCGGCUAGGCCACCAUCACCGAACAACCCUAUCUCCACCGAUCAGAGAACGGGCAGAGCCGUUCUCCAUUUCCGCAGACCCACGGUCUCCUUCGGACAUCAGGUCUUUCCUUCAACAGCCUCGUCUCCGCCGGCCAACAACAGUUUUUCUUCCUCCAGCAGCGCCGCCCGAUCUGGCACCCGAAGCAGAGGAGAAGAAGAUGAAACCUAGCCGCCACCAACAGGGUUGAAGGCCAUCCUCACCAGAAAUCAAACAGACCCGAAACGGGCAGAAGAAAAAAUUCAAGCGAUACAAACAACGAGACAUAAAUCGCCAGCCGAUGCGCGCGUGGAUUUUUCGACGUGCGACAGGGCCCACAGGCUGCAGAGUGCAAAAUACCCUAUGUAAAGUCUGGUUUGCUAAAGUUAACGCAGAAUACCUUGUAUUUGUUUUUUUUAAAAACUACUACUACUACUACUACUACUAUUAUUAUUGAGGCCGUAUUAAAUUAUUCCGUAAUUUUAUAAAAUCUCAAAUUAAUUAUCUAAAAUUUUUAUUGCGACACACAAAUUGUUUGUUGCAACAACACACAAUUUGUGUGAGGAUUUAUUUUAGAUUCCUAGUUGUUUUUUUUGUAGAUGAAUGUUUUUUUUUUGUUAAGAUCAAACAAAAAAAGAAGGCUAGAAUUCUCAAUGAUCUAUUUAUUAUGAGUUCUUAGUGCUAACCUAAAUACAAAGAAAGUAUAUACAUGUUAAACUGAAAAUACUAUUCUACCUUUAAUAAAUAAGACUACAUAAAUAUUAUUUAACAUCUCCCCUCAAACUCACGAUGCGGCAGUUACAAGCAUCGAGAGUUUGCUAACUAGAAAACAAAAACGAGAGAUGGAAUGCGCCUUGGUAAAGAAACAUGCAAUCUACAAGGAAAAAGGAACAAAAGGCAAAGUAAUGGUGCCAUGCCUGAGAUGAUGAUAAGAUGACAAUCGAUCUCAAUGUGCUUAGUUCGCUCAUGAAAAAUUGAGUUGUGAGCAAUUUGAAUAGAACUCUGGUUGUCACAAUGCAUAAGAGUAGGAUGAGAAAAGGAAACUCCCAUAUUAGCAACUAACCAAUGUAACCAAAUAAUCUUUUUGGUAGUAGAUGUCAUGGAACGAUAUUAUGCUUUGGUGGAUGAUUGAGAAAUAAUAAAUUAUUUCUUGCUCUUCCAAGAAAUAAGGGAAUCACCUAAAAAGAUACAGAACCCGGUAACAGACUUGCGAUCUAUGAGAUCACUACCAUGAUCAGUGUUGUAACCCAUUUUUGGGUCCCCACAAAAAUAAUAAAUCAAUUUAAAAAAAAAAAAAAAAAAAACAAUUCGGCUGGUUACUGUUCAUCUUCUUCCCCGAAAAAACUGCCCGAGUGGCUGCUUUCCAGGCGCAUUUUCCAGCUCGUGUGGCCCCCAAAUCCGACAAACCGUGCACCAACAUGUCCACCUAAAACCGCUCUAUCCCCUAGCAUUGUCCGCUAGAGCCUAUAAACACCAAAACAGCUUCGUUGAGUGGCUCAAAGUGGCCACCUCGGGCAGUUCACAGCCUGGAGCUGCCAAAUUUGGCAGCUCGAGGUGCACACUUGGGAGCCAACGGUUGAGAUGCUUCCCAACAGAAUCAAGGGCUGAAAUUUUUCCCCAACGUAGACAAGAUUGCCCUCUUCCACAGCCUAUAAAUAGAGUCGGAUUUGAUGAUCUGAGGGUUGAGAAAUUCAGGUCCAAAGUCAGCCAAAAACCAGCAUUUUCGCCCAAUUUCUGCAGAUUUUUCUUCUUCUUCUUUCUUCCUCUGCAACAGGAAACCGACGCCGUCUUCCUCCAACUCCACCGCUGCAACCACCGGCUGAACCACCUCAUCGCAGCAGCCACAACCUCUUCGGCCAAGUGAGCCCCUCUUCCUUUCCUCCUCCUUCCUUUUCCUUUCCUCCUUUUUUUCUUCUCUCUUCCUCCCUGUCUACUGUUCACUGCAUGAACAGUAGGCGUGAAAUAUAAUUCACGUCCUACUGUUCACGCAGGACGUGAAUUAUAUAUAUAUAUGUGUGUGUGUAUUAUUAUUUAUAUAUUAUAAUAUAUUAAUUAUAUAUGUAUAUAUAUAUAUGUAUUUUUCUUUAAAAAAUAUAUUUUGAAAAAUCUUAAAAAAUAUUGUUGAUUUUUCUGCAUGUUUUUGUCAAAGUGGUUUAAUGUUGGUUUGUAUUUUUAUACCGUAAAGAUACAAAACCAGUGUUAAAAAUACCCGGUUUUCGUCAAAAUAUCAAAGAUUUUCAGAAUAAAAAAUGUUUUUGCUUUCAAAAAAAUUCUAAAAAGUCCCUAAAAAUGUUGUUGAUUUUUCUGCAUAUUUUUAUCAAAGUGGAUUAAUAUUGGGUUGUAUUUUUAUACCGUAAACAUCAAAAAAUAAAUAUUUUCCAAAAAAGGGUUUUGUUUUCAUGCAUACGGCCUAGUCUCUCCAAUAUAUAUAUAUAAAUAUUAUAACAUCAUAUUUUCACACAACAAAGAAAAUUUUCAAAACAAUAUAUGUAUUAGCAUGCAUUUUGGCUUUAAUAACCAGUUUAUUUAAGCCAUGAGAACUAGGCCAAUAUUUCAAAAAUUCAAAAAAUCUUUUUUUUGUUUUCUUUUAGUAUUUGGGAUUACGAAUUUAUACGUAAAACGUAUUCCUAAAUAUUAUUAAUGAAAUUUUGGUAUGGACGUUAGAACGGUUAGGAUUUUACCCGAUAAGAUAAAGCCUUUCUUACCGAGGAGGAUUUUUCUUGAACCAUAGACAGACCAACAACUAGGAAAACACGAAAAUACCUUAGUUUUUAUCAGACAAUAAAACAAUGCAGCUUACCUUAGGUAGGGCGUAUUUGGGGUGCUAAUACCUUCCCUUUACGCAACCAGUCCCCGUACCCGAUCUCUGAGACCAGUUAGGGUUCCUAGUGACCAAAAUACUAGGUGGCGACUCCCAUUCCAUUUUCUACCAAUAAAAGACAAUAUUUUUGUUGUAUCCCCAUAGAUAUAGAUAGAUUUACAUUAUAGAUUAAGAAAAUGGAAAAACUAUGUUAUUUUCGCCGCGACGCCGCACACGUGCGACAGAAUGGCGACUCCACUGGGGACCUUGUAGACUAAGCUUUGUUUUUGUCUGAUUUGUUUGUGUUUUCGUGUGUUUAUUGUUAAUAUGCCUUUCCAAUUUAUUUACAUAUUAGUUUUUUAUUUUACGCGUAUUAUUUAUGCAUUGUAUAAAAUUGUCUCAUGCAUCACUUGCUUUUAUUUUUGAGAAGCACACACAAGCCUUAAGUUAAGUGGGCAAUUAGCGAUUUACCCUAAGACUAUUGGUCAGGGUUUAAAUGCGUGAAACACCCAACUCAUAUCUGAGUGCCUGCUUGGUAAUGGCGGACAUACGUGUCUUAGCUAUUCCUUGCAACGCCCCCAUACUGUCUUUACGAAGAACGUCACUGGGCAGAUAUGAGAACCUUCAAGACUAGAUAGAAAAAACUACCCACUCUCACUUGAUAAAUAGAGCUUGUCCUUAGGUUAUGUAUCUUUUUGCAAUAUUAUACUCAUCGCGCAUCACUUAUGCAUCACAUUUUCAUCACACAUUUUAUUUUUUAAAUUAUCAUAUGCAUUCCAGAUCGUGAAACAUAGGUCCCACACCCAGAGUCCAUCAAACCCGGUCCAGAUCAAGAAUGGAAAACGAAGAAAAAGAGCUCACUUAGAGUCGCACUACCAGACCGAGUUGGAAUCUGUGAAAAAUGAAGUUUCUCGACUGACCAAUCUGCUUGAGCAACUUUUAAGAGCCAAGAACGGGGAGGGAACAUCUACCCAACCACCUAUAGGAGCACCGUCAGUUCAUGUCCCUGGGAUAUCUCAGAACUUGGGGGCAGAUUCAGUGACGGGGCAGCACUUUGCGCCUACCAUUCCCAUUCAGCCCCCUCAAGCUCACAUCACUAUAGAUGGGCCUUCCGAUAAUAGGUCCACUGGAUUUAUGAACGAUGACAAGAUAUCAGCCUUGGAAGAAAGGUUAAGAGCAGUCGAGGGAAAUGACUGGUUUGACCCCAUGCGAGCGUCUGAAAUAUGCUUGGUACCAAACAUCACGGUACCAAAAGAUUUUAGGAUACCGGAGUUUACAAAGUACACUGGGUUGGAAUGCCCAAACACUCACCUUCGAUCUUAUUGCAAUAAAAUGGCUGAGGUGAUUCAUGACGAUAAGUUACUGAUCUACUUUUUCCAAGACAGUCUAUCGGGGUCGGCGCUAAGUUGGUACAUGAGGCUGGAUAAUGCCAAGAUCAAGAAAUGGAAGGAUUUAGUUGAGGCUUUCCUUAAGCAAUACAAGUUCAAUUUGGAAAUUGCUCCAGAUCGAACGAGCCUUAUGUCAAUGGAAAAGAGAAGCCAAGAAUCAGUAAGGGCUUAUGCGCAAAGAUGGAGGGACGAGGCCAUGCAUGUGCAACCCCCUUUGAUAGAAACGGAGAUGGUGACUUUGUUCGCCAAUACAUUCAAGGCACCCUACUAUGAGCAUUUAAUGGGUAGCUCAUCUCAACAUUUCUAUGAUGUGUACGCAUAGCGGAAAGAAUAGAGCAAGGGAUUAAAGCUGGACGCAUAAUUGAGCCAUUGGAGACAAAGGGUUUUUUCGGAAGAAAAUGAAAGGUCCCGUUAACAACUUCGAAGGUGGGUCCAAUGACAAGAUAACGAUUCAUAUAACCCACAAAUACCUACCUCUCAUGUGGCCCACAUAAACUUUAACAAACCUUUUUCCCCUAAUCGAGCAAAUGGCCAGUCAAACACCCAAAACAACCAAAGACCAAACACAAGAUACAUUUCAGAACAACUACCGCCAUUACCCAUGCCUCUGAAGGACAUAUAUGCCAAACUACUGAGCAUUGGACAAAUAGCUCCUAUCCCUACAUUACCACUACAGCCACCAUUCCCCAUCUGGUAUAAGCCCGAGUUGACUUGCGAGUACCAUGCUGGUAUUCCCGGGCAUUGUCUUGAAACGUGCUACGGUUUCAAGAACAAGUUGUUGAAGCUCAUCAAGAUAGGAUGGGUGUCAUUUGAAGACACACCCAAUAUCAGUUCAAAUCCAUUGCCUGGUCAUGACAAAAGUGAUAGGGGAUAAAGGUUGGAAAACCUUGGUCAAGAAUCGUCAAUAAUGAAGAAGGCGAGAUCGAAGGAGAAGACAAGGAAACACAAGUGGGGAAGGAAGAUGAAGCAUUGCCUCGGUUGACUUUCCACACACUAGAAGAAGUUUCAGAACGGGUUGACCCAAGAACUUCUCGUAGUUUUCAAAAUGUAAAACAACUUUAUUUGCCUUAGCAUGUUUUUGUCAUUUGCUUUUGUUGCUUUUAUUUUCUCUAGUGGGCAAUCAGGGCUCAUGAUGUCAGCCAGAUUUUGUGUUUGUCUUUGAGCCUACCUUUUCUUUAAAUAAAUGAUGAGAUUAUGCACUUUUUGAACAAGUUUGAGUGGUUACAAAUAAAGUAUCAUAAAAGGUUUAAUAUGAAAUUUAAGAAAAGCUACCCUUGAAAUACAACCUCACCUCUGGAUAACAUAAUGAAUUGAUACAUCACCUGUAAAUUUUCUUUCAAGAUAAAAAUAGAGUUUAUCAACCUAUAACAAUGUGCAUUUUUUAAAAAAAAUUAUUGUCUUUCACUCUCUAAAGUUUUUUGUUGGUGGUGGAGUCGAAUGAAUUUCUUCUCUAUAUAAAAGCCCAGACUAGGAUCGCACCCCUACACUGGGGGCAAGACGAGAUGUUUUAUGAAAAGUUUUACGAAAGCCUAUAGAUUUGAAAACCAAGCUAAAGCAUUUGACAAAAGCAUGACAAAGAGGCAAAUACAAGUCAUACAUUUUGAGAAAAGGACUACUUGAAGAAAGUCAAAGACUUCUUCUCCAAGAAUAUGAUAGGCAACACGAAGAUAAAUCCAGCAUACGACUUCAAAAGCAAGUUCAUGUUAAGAGGGAGUCUCAUGAACUAGAAGAAGAGGGGACCUAUGUUUCAAAACCAGGUAUAAAUGCAUGCAUUGCAUCUAAUCAUAAAUCAUUGCAUAUAUGUUUUUUUUGGAUCGUUACAGGAGGAGAUCUUAGCGCAUUCCAACAAGAUUAUGGACGAAGAAAGAAUCAUUGAGUUGAUUCUAGAACAACAAGAAGAGAAGAUAAUGGUUUUCAAACCCUGCCAGCAGGAAGAACGACAUCGAUAGCAUUCGGUAAAAAGGAAUCGCCAAAUGGGAUUCCAAGUUGUUGAGAUCGACAGAAGGGAUCUCGUAUUUCGAUGGAGGUCGCCAGAAGGGACCUCAAAUUUCAGCUUUUGUAUAAAAGGAAUCACCAGAUGGGAUUCCAAGUUGUUUGAGAUCGCCAGAAGGGGUCUCGUUUUCGAUAUUCAUCAAUGGAGGUCGCCAGAAGGGACCUCAAAUUUCAGCUUUGGUAUAAAAGGAAUCGCCAUAUGGGAUUCCAAGUUGUUUGGCUAAAGGAGAUCGCCAGAAGGGAUCUCAUAUUUCGAUGAAGGUCGCAGAAGGGACCUAAUAUUUCAGCUUUGAAUAAAAGGAAUGCCAGAUGGGAUUCCAAGUUAUUUGAGAUCGCCAGAAGGGAUCUCGUACUUCGACAUUCAUCAAGGAAGGUCCAAAAGGGACCUCAUAUUGAAACCAUUUCUUAGAAAAGCAUGGAGUUUACUAAGAAUUCUCCCCCCUGGGUAGGUCACCCAUACAAUGAGACCAUUAUUUUUUCUUGGGUAGGUCACCCAUACAAUGAGACCAUCAUUUUUUUCUUGGAUAGGUCACCCAUACAAUGAGACCAUCAUUAUUUUUCUGGGUAGGUCACCCAUACAAUGAGACCAUUAUUUUUCCUGGGUAGGUCACCCAUACAAUGAGACCAUUAUUUUUCCUGGGUAGGUCACCCAUACAAUGAGACCAUCAUUUUUCCUGGGUAGGUCACCCAUACAAUGAGACCAUCAUUUUUCUUGGGUAGGUCACCCAUACAAUGAGACCAUCAUUUUUCUGGGUAGGUCACCCAUACAAUGAGACCAUUAUUUUUCUUUUUUUACCUGGGUAGGUCACCCAUAACAAUGAGGCCAUUCUUCCCUUUGGGUAGGUCACCCAUAAUAAUGAGACCACUCUUUCCCUUUUCCACUCGGGCAGGUCACCCAUCAUAAUGAGACCACACACGCGUUUUUGUAUUUGGUUAUGGGUAAAGGAUUCGCCAGAUGAGAUUCCAAGUUGAUUGAGAUCGCCAGAAGGGAUAUCGCAUUUCGAUAUUGGUCAAAGGAGGUCGCCAGAAGGGACUUCAUAUUUUAGACUUGGUUAAGAAGAAUCGCCAGAUGGGAUUCCAAGUUUUUGGGGUUAAAAGAGAUCGCUAGGAGGGAUCUCAAGAUGACUAAAUUUUGAUCAUAGUUGUUUUUGGGCCGAAGAGGAUUGCUGUAAAGACAAAGUUUCAGGUUGAUCCAGCUUCGAUCAAGCUUCGACCAUAUCAGUUUCGGGAGUUCAGUUUUGGUUUAUCUUUAUAAAACUUACUGCGCAGAACCCCUGCUCCGUAAGCAUUAUAAAGAGGGGGCAUCUGUUGUAACCCAUUUUUGGGUCCCCACAAAAAUAAUAAAUCAAUUUAAAAAAAAAAAAAAAAAUUCGGCUGGUUACUGUUCAUCUUCUUCCCCGAAAAAACUGCCCGAGUGGCUGCUUUCCAGGCGCAUUUUCCAGCUCGUGUGGCCCCCAAAUCCGACAAACCGUGCACCAACAUGUCCACCUAAAACCCCUCUAUCCCCUAGCAUUGUCCGCUCGAGCCUAUAAACACCAAAACAGCUCCGUUGAGUGGCUCAAAGUGGCCACCUCGGGCAGUUCACAGCCUGGAGCUGCCAAAUUUGGCAGCUCGAGGUGCACACUUUGAGCCAACGGUUGAGAUGCUUCCCAACUGAAUCAAGGGCUGAAAUUUUUCCCCAACGUAGACAAGAUUGCCCUCUUCCACAGCCUAUAAAUAGAGUCGGAUUUGAUGAUCUGAGGGUUGAAAAAUUCAGGUCCAAAGUCAGCCAAAAACCAGCAUUUUCGCCCAAUUUCUGCAGAUUUUUCUUCUUCUUCUUUCUUCCUCUGCAACAGGAAACCGACGCCGUCUUCCUCCAACUCCACCGCUGCAACCACCGGCUGAACCACCUCAUCGCAGCAGCCACAACCUCUUCGGCCAAGUGAGCCCCUCUUCCUUUCCUCCUCCUUCCUUUUCCUUUCCUCCUUUUUCUUCUUCUUCUUCCUCCCUGUCUACUGUUCACUGCAUGAACAAUAGACGUGAAAUAUAAUUCACGUCCUACUGUUCACGCAGGACGUGAAUUAUAUAUAUAUAUGUGUGUGUGUGUAUUAUUAUAUUAUAUAUUAUAAUAUAUUAUAUUAUAUAUGUAUAUAUAUAUAUAUGUAUAUUUUAUCUUUAAAAAAUAUAUUUUGAAAAAUCUUAAAAAAUAUUGUUGAUUUUUCUGCAUGUUUUUGUCAAAGUGGUUUAAUGUUGGUUUGUAUUUUUAUACCGUAAAGAUACAAAACCAGUGUUAAAAAUACCCGGUUUUCGUCAAAAUAUCAAAGAUUUUCAGAAUAAAAAAUGUUUUUGCUUUCAAAAAAAUUCUAAAAAGUCCCUAAAAAUGUUGUUGAUUUUUCUGCAUAUUUUUAUCAAAGUGGAUUAAUAUUGGGUUGUAUUUUUAUACCGUAAGAAUACAAACCCAGUAUUAAAAUACCCGAUUUUUGUUAAAACAUCAAAAAAUAAAUAUUUUCCAAAAAAGGGUUUUGUUUUCAUGCAUACGGCCUAGUCUCUCCAAUAUAUAUAUAUGUAUUAGCAUGCAUUUUGGCUUUAAUAACCAGUUUAUUUAAGCCAUGAGAACUAGGCCAAUAUUUCAAAAAUUCAAAAAAUCUUUUUUUUGUUUUCUUUUAGUAUUUGGGAUUACGAAUUUAUACGUAAAACGUAUUCCUAAAUAUUAUUAAUGAAAUUUUGGUAUGGACGUUAGAACGGUUAGGAUUUUACCCGAUAAGAUAAAGCCUUUCUUACCGAGGAGGAUUUUUCUUGAACCAUAGACAGACCAACAACUAGGAAAACACGAAAAUACCUUAGUUUUUAUCAGACAAUAAAACAAUGCAGCUUACCUUAGGUAGGGCGUAUUUGGGGUGCUAAAACCUUCCCUUUACGCAACCAGUCCCCGUACCCGAUCUCUGAGACCAGUUAGGGUUCCUAGUGACCAAAAUACUAGGUGGCGACUCCCAUUCCAUUUUCUACCAAUAAAAGACAAUAUUUUUGUUGUAUCCCCAUAGAUAUAGAUAGAUUUACAUUAUAGAUUAAGAAAAUGGAAAAACUAUGUUAUUUUCGCCGCGACGCCGCACACGUGCGACAAUCAGCAUCAGAGUAUGCAUGCAACUCCAAGAAAAAGAUGAAUGAAAGUAAAAGACUCUGAAAAACUGUACCCCGAAGAUAUCGCAAAAUACGAAGAACAGUUGCCUAGUGAACAGUAAUAAGAGAAGCAAUGAACUGACUAACAACAUGAACAAUAUAUGCAAUAUCUAGACGAGUAAUGGUGAGAUAUACCAAGCUCCCAACAAUAGUACAGUAUAAAGUAAGAUCUAUCAAAGAUAAACCAUCAGAAGAAGAGUACUUUACGUUAACCUCAAUAGGAGUAUCAACAGUCUUCUUAUCAGUAAGUCUAGCCUGCUCAAUAAUAUCUGCAACAUAUUUUGAUAGAGAAAGAAAAUAACCUCUAGGUGAGUAUGUUACCUCAAUACCCAGAAAAUAUCGAAGAUAACCCAAAUCCUUCAUUUCAAAUCAUCUAGCCAAUUCUGUCUUCAAAACUGAAAUACCAUCAGUGUCAUCACCAGUAUUAAUCAUGUCAUCAACAUAUAAAGAUAGAAUGAUACGACCUACAUCAUUCCACUUAAUAAAAAGAGCAUAAUCAUGACUACUAAAAACAAAGCCAAGUGACGAGAUCACAAUAGAGAAUUUCUCAAACCAAGCACGGGGUGCUUGUUUGAGACCAUAUAAUGCUUUCUUAAGCUUACAAACAUAUCCAGAGUCAUGUGAAAUACCAGGAGGGGGUGCCAUAUAAACUUUUUUGAAGAUCUCCAUUCAAGAAGGCAUUUUUAACAUCAAGUUGAGAAAUAUGCCAUUGACGAAUCGAAGCUACGCAAUAAGAGUACGAAUAGUAGUCAUUUUUGCAACCGGAGCAAAUGUCUCCUCAUAGUCCAUACCAUACUGUUGAGAGUAUCCUUUGGCAACCAACCUAGCUUUAUAUCGCUCAAUAGACCCAUCAGAAUUAGUCUUGAUCUUAUACACCCAACGACAACCAACAACACUCUUACCAGGAGGUAGAGGAACCAGAUCCCAAGUAUCUGUCUUAUGCAAGCAGAAAGUUCCUCAUCCAUAGCUUGCUGCCAAAGCGGAUCAAGAAUUGCCUCUUUAUAGGAAGAGGGCUCAAAAGACAAUGAAUAGAGGCUAAAAAGGAAGUAAAUGAUGAAGAAUAACAAGAAUAAGCAAAAUCUGGUAGUUUUGUGGACUUACGAAUACGGAUGGACUGACGUGGAGGUGGAUCCACAAUCUCAGAUGAAGCUUGAGGGGCUGUAGAUGAGAAUGGAGCUUCAGGUGUAGAGAGUAAAGUACCAGUACCUGCAGAGUUAUGAGUACAAAUUGAUCGAACAUGGGGAGAGCUAUCAUUACCAGAAUCCUCAGAAAAAUGGAUCUAUACUAAUAAGAUCAGAUUUAGUCAGGUUAUGAGUAGUGGAUGGAAUAAAAAGAAAGGUAUAUGCUCAAGGAAGACAACAUGACGAGACACAUAAAGUUUCUGAGUUAUUGGAUCAAAACAACGAUAACCCUUUUUACCUUCACCAUAGCCCAAAAAGACACAAAUAGCGGAUCGAGAGGAUAGCUUACUUCGUUCUACAUGAGGACGAAGAACGAAACAAGUACAACCAAAGACUCUAAAUGAGGAAUAAUCAGGGACAUACCCAUAUAACUUUUCAAAAGGAGAUAGACCCGAACUAUGAGAAGAUGGAAUUGUAUUAAUCAAGCUUACAGCAGUAAGAACAGCUUCUCCCAAAACUCACUAGGAAAAAAGCAGACAACAAGAGAGAACGAGCAGUUUCGACAAUGUGCCUAUGUUUUCUUUCAGCAACACCAUUUUGCUCAGGAGUAUCUGUACAUGAAGUUUGGUGGAUGGUUCCAUCUAGGGCAAGCAAUUAAAAUUUAUUAGAAGUGUAUUCCCCACCAAAUCACACCUAAAGCAUUUGAUCACAGAGAAUAUUGAGUUUUGAUAAGAGCUCAAAAAGCUGCAUAUAUCUCAAAUAAUUCAGAACAAUGUUUCAUUAAAUAAACCCAAUAAUAACGAGUAUGAUCAUCAAUAAAAGAGAUAUAAUAUCGAGACCCUUCUUUUAUGGCAAUAGGAGAAGGUCCCCAUACAUCAUAAUGAAUCAAGUCAAAUGGUGAAGAAGAAACAUAAAUACUUCGAUUAAAAGGUAAAGCGGAAAAUUUUGCCAAUUUACAUCCACUACAAUCAGAAAUGUCACAAGUUUUUAAAUUUUCUAAAGCUCUUAUGGAUGUCAAAAAUCUCAAACGAGAAGAUGAGACAUGUCCUAGACAAGAAUGCGAUAAAUAAAAAUUAGAAGAUGAAGGACUCAAACAAAAAAGAAAACAAAUCAACAGUAUUAGUAGCAACAGCGAGAACUGACACUUUCAACUCAUCCAAAAUAUAUAGUCCAUUCUCCAAACGGCUUAUCCCAAUCAGCUUCUAAGACUGCAGAUCCUGUACAUAACAAAAAGAAGAGGAAAAAAUGAUUAAAUAAUCACCAGAAUCACAUCAUUGACCAAUAUAAACAAGAUUUAAUUUGACGUUCAGAAUAAGAUAGACAUUAGAAAGAGACAAAUAAGGUGUGACAACAGAACUAACACUUGCUAAGGGCAUGAGAGUACCAUCAGCAGUCAUAACAUGAAUGAAGGGCGAAGCGGAAACAUAGGUAAAAGAUGAAGAAUUUGAAGACAUAUGAUAUGAAGCAUCAUAAUCCAAAACCUAGUUAGAAUGUGACAUACUUGAGGAACUAUGAGGCAAUUGACUGAUGAAAGAAGCGGGCAUUGCUUGUGGCUGCAAUGAGAGAAACUUCUGAAAUUGCUCAGCCAAAGUACUAAGAUCAGUUAUAGAGCCCGGGGAAGCUAUUGUUGCGGUAUUGUGGUGUGGUGUGGUGAUUUAUAACCCUGAGGUGGUCUAUGAGCAUUAGAUUGUAACUGGCUACCAGGCUUCCAAGUUUGCGUAUGCUGUCUUAACUUAGGACAUUAGGCCUUCUAAUGACCUUUCUGCUUAUGGAAACUGCACUCGUCGAAGCCAAUCCUUGUGUAAGGCUUAUGUUGGUGAUUGGAGAAUUGCUUAUAGGGUACUGUUAGUAUAGAAGGAGUCGAAGUAGAUAGAAUGCCCUUUUCAGAACACGACAGAAGACGUAUUUUUUCAUCCAAUAACUCACUGACAACCAAGUCAACAAAAGGCAGUGGAGAGAGAUGCAAUAUUGAACCUCUAAGUCCUUCGAAAUCACUGCGAAGUGCUUUUAAAAUUGUACCAAUCAUUGUUGCUCUCUACGUUUAAUAUAAGCACCGCAUGCCUUUAAUUCCACUGAUUUUGUAAGAGCCAACUAACCCAAAGAUCUGUCAUGGUAGAAUAUAACUCCUGAAUACUCAUAUUCUUCUGGUGAAGAGCUCGUAUGUCAUUCUCUAACUGAUACUGCUUUGUAAAAUUUGAUUAUGUGAAUAACCUUUGCAGAUGAUCCCAAACCUCUUUUGCUGUCUCAUACUUUGCCAACUACGUACCUAUGGAAUGCUCAACAGAGUUGUUGAUCCAAGUAAUGAUCUUUGCAUCGUUUACUUCCCAUGCAUCUAUCAAAGUUGCAUCCCCUUCCCUAGUAUGUUUAGGUACCAUAUAGGUUCCACUAACAUAUCCUCACAUCUCCCUUAAGAAAAUUACUCAUUACAUAACUCCAAUACGAAUAGUUUUUCCCAUCCAACAUCACACUCACAAACUGAAGCGAAUCAUCUCUUUCAAUGGCCAUAAUCAUCAAUAAUAGAUAACCAGAAUGCAAAAGUAGUGGAAAACAAAAUACUAAAUUGCAGAAACUGAAUAGAGAUUGCAGAAACUAAACAAAUAUCUUCUUGAAAAUAUACAAUUAUGCCAAAACACAAAAUAAAUUUGCAGAAACUGAAUGCAAAUAUCAAAUUGCAGAAACUAAAGGGAAGAUGAAAUACCAAAAUAAUUGCAAAAACUAAAUGCAAAUAUCAAAUUGUAGAAGUUGAAGGGAAGGCAAAAUACCAAAUUUUGCAAAAGCAGAAGACAAAAUAUCACUCCAAAAAAUUUGUUGUGUUCGAGAUUAAGCCUCGUUUCAUAAAACCAGCUCUGAUACUAUGUUAAAAUAAUUAAGAUCAAACAUAAAAAUAAGGCUAGAAUUCUCAAAGAUCUGUUUAUUAUGAGUUCUUAGUGUUAACCUAAAUACAAAGAAAGUAUAUAUAGGUUAAACUGAAAAUAAUACUAUACUCUUAAUAAAUAAGACUAUAUAAAUAUUAUUUAAUAUUUUUCACCUAUUUAAACAUCUUAUAAAUUUUAUAAAGAGGUAGUCAUUAUAUAUUUUAUUAAAAAAACUGUGAAUUUAUAAUUGACAUCUACCACUCUCUUCUAUAAUUAAAUAUUUGUCUAUCAUUAAAUAUUUUAUGUUUUUCUUGUAAUUUUUAUAUUGUCGCUUUCCUCCUUAGCUUCCAUCAGAACUCUUAGCUUCCAUCUCCGUUAGAAACCAGACACAUUUUAUCUUUCUACGGUACAUGAUUUGUACGUCGGGAACUGGUUUGCUGGAAAGCAAUACAGUUAUGCUUUUGAGAUUGUGGAUAGUUAGGAUAAUCCUCUAUUUUGGGACAUGUUUUUGUUUUUUAAAAACCUUUUAAUUAGCACUUAACAAUUUUUUUUUAAAAUCAUUUUUCCAAGCAAAUUAAGUAGGAAACCUUGUUGAAAUUGUUAGAUUAUUGGUCUUGAAAUAGAAAUGAGGUUAACCAGCAAAAUAGACACACGGAAAAAAAAUUCCUUUACAAUUUUGUUUUUGGAGAAAAUUAUUAUUUUUUAUAUUUAGAAUAUUUAUCACUCUAUACUUUGACUAUUUAUACCAUUUUUCUUGUUUUUGUUUUUAUUUUUUUACAAUAUAUUUUUUUAUUUGUAUUUUUUGAGAAAACAUUAUACAAAGACUAAAAAAUAAUAAUGUUUCACUAUAGUAAUUAUAAUAUUGUUAUAUUUUUCUACUAUAUUAAAAAUUAACUUGAAAUUAUUAUUUUUUUAUAUGUAAACAUCAUAUUUGAUUCAUAAUUAUAUUUUUUUAUUUGAUGUUAAAAAAAAUAUUAAUUAAAAUUUUUUUAUUCAACUUGUAGCAAGACAAGUUGAAUAAACAUAUUUACACUUAUUUUUUUAUAUUUAUUAACAUAAAUAAUUUUUAAUUUAUCUACUUAAAUACAUGUAUAGACUUUCUAAUUUAUCUUGACAAUGGUUAAAAUCAUGUUCAGACACUUUUAUUUUUUUAUUUUUUUAUGAGCAAGUAGUUUGCAUGUAAGUUUUAAAAUUAUCCUUAGAAAAAAAAAAAAACACACAUUCAAGAAGCAUCAUCAUGAAUGAUGUCACACAAUCCAAUAAGUUGAUGCUGCCAAUGGAAAUUUAUAUCGCUGUGGUUCUAGAAACCCAAAAAACUGUGGAAACGAGCCACUCCAACGCACGCCAGUGUAAAAUGGAGAGUCAAAAUAAAUAAAUAAAAGUAAUAUUUUGAAUUUUCUUCAUUUGUUUUUAAAAGUUAAAUAAAAUGCUAAAAUAUUAAUAAAAUAGGGCUAAUAAAAAAAUAAAUAAAUUAAAUAUAAUCAUGUAAAAAAAUAAUAUCAAAAUUAUUUUUUAAAAAAUAAAACAUUUAUUUAUUUCACUCUAAUACAAUUAAUUUUUUAAAUAAUUUUUUUAUUAGAAUAUAUAUAAUAAAAAACUAUACUUAUAUUAUUUAAAAUAUUAUUUUAUCAAUUUAUUUUUGUAAAAUAGCAUCUCCCGUUAAAAUGCUAUAAUAGACAUAACUUCUUCAUGUCAACGUGGAUGACCUGUGCCCCAUGCUGGUAGAAAAACGGAAAGGUAAAACGUCAUUUCACUUAAUGAUUCACGACUUUUGACUGACAGACAAUUCGUGACAAUUCUAUACAACUUAUUCAACUACCAUAUAUCGACGGGGCCUAAUUUGACGUGGUGUCUUUUUAUAUACGUUAACUAAUACUCAGAUUUAAGUAUAACUUACCAUUAUUAUUACAUGACGUACGGGCAGAACGCAAUAUGUAGUAGUGAAUGAGUUCCUUGGAAAUAGGUGGAGUCAUGUAUGGUUUCUUCAACUGAUAUUUGAAGUUAUUGACUUGGAUCUUGUUCUUUUUCUAUAUACAAUAUUUGCUGAGCAUUAAAUUUGAUAAGAUAUUAGACCCAACAUCUCUAAAUUUAGUUAUAUCCUAUGCUAAAUUACAUACAUAGCCUAAACAGUUAUGGGUCUAGCAAGAUGCUAGAUCCAACAUCUUUUGAGUUAAGCCAUGUGCUGAGGUCAAAUAUUUGUAGGUUUGACAAGGUGUCAAAUUCAAGUGCACGUGGAUCCAACACAACACUAAAUCUUUGGAUAAUCAUUUUUCUACACCCUUGGGUGUAUAAGAAUCCUCUAAAAACCGAUUAUAUUUUAAUUAACAUUAAUGUCAUGAUAAGGCUAUUCCUACCAACGUUAAAUGUUAUGUACGAAAUAAGGUAUAAAAGUCUUCUAUAGCUCUACUACUUGUUCAUCAAUAUUAAUGGCGUGUAAGGGUAAUUCUUAUCAAUAUUAAUGUUGUGUAAGAAGAUGUUUCUAUCAACAUUAAUGUUGAAGUAAAAUACUUUUUCCUUACUAAGAUAUUCAAGAGGAAAAGACUUUCAUCCUCUUAAACAAAAAGGCUCAAAGUACAAUGAACAUAAAUACUCGCCGAACCACCCGGGUAAAAGGAUUCACGAUCGUUAUUCUCUUAUCAUACAUUUUAAAAGAAUUUAUUGCACCAAAACUAAGAGUGAAUGUUCUUGUUCUUAGAGUUUAAUGUUCUUCUCUUCACAACCAUUACUAUAAAGUCACUAACUUAAGUAUCGGAGGGUCCCUAAAUUCAACAAAAAAGACUAUUUUGCAGGAACUAAGACUUCUACCACCAAUCAUCUGCUCUUCUUGUCCCUAGAAAUGGAAUAUUGACGUGAACGUAUGAUAAUCCAUUUUCUCAAUACUCAAACACUAUUACUGAGCAUAUUGGAUCCCGGGAGAUCAUCAAUUAGUGUCAUUUGUGGGAAACCAAUAAAAAAAAUAAUCAUAAACUACUUUUUUAGAGUUGGUUUUUGACGCCCCUAAUCGCUAUUAAUAACAGACAAUUAAGAAACCCCUGGGAUGUUACAUGUCAUAUAUCUCCAUGCAACAACUGAUACGUUUACUCUACCAUCUCUUUUAGAGUUUCAACAACUCAUUAAUAAAAUGCAAGCUCUUAUCCAAGUUGUUUUGGCAUCCCAGGGACAACGUCAAACCUCACCAUAUCAGCAAGCUCCAACACAUGAUGUAGCUUCUUCGUUACCAAUCUUUCAACCAUAAGCCUUCCUUUCUGCUAGGAGACAACUAUCCUAACUAGAAAAGCCAAGGCGAAAUAACAUGGAUAACUUUCCACUAUAAUGAUUCCCUAGCCCCUUAGGAAUCAUUCUUAUCGACAUGAAACUCUCCCAAUAAGCAAUCAAUCCAAAUGUAAUCCCUUUGUCCUUAUAAGAUAAAUGGAUCUUUUUUGUCUAGACGGGUCUUAGAUACCCAUAUCUCCAAGGAGUAUAUCUCUAUAAAGAUGACCUUAAACAAUUAUAAUGGUUUGGCAAUUCUUAGAGAGCAUGUCCAAAACAUGCGAAGCUACUGUGAGCUGGUCAUCCAAGAUGGUGAAACUUGUGCAAGAUCCUGCCACAACCUUUAGAGGGUCAGCUAAAGCAUAAUAUAACAAUAUAGAGCCAAACUUUACAACGAGUUUCAAUGAUCUCCGUGCAAAACUCGUGUCAAGGUUCAACACCAGCAUACCUGCCAAAAGAAGCUCCAUUAAACUCUUUGGUGUUACUCAGAUAUGAGGGGAGUCCACUUGAGCAUAUUUGAAAAGAUUCAAUGAAGAGAUGCUCCAAAUGGAAGAAUUAAUUCAGUUAAUGACCUUAGAAGCUUUGAUAAAUGAGGUAAGAGAAUGUUCCAUGUGGAAGGGUUUGUACGCCCUGCCAGACAAAAGCUUUAUGAAAGUAAAACAGGUUAUGAAGAAUCACAUCCGGGUAGAGAAAACUAAUAUAUUGUGACAUGGACCUCCUUGUUUCUAUUAAGAGGCUCAAGAUAAAAAGCCUUUCAAACAGAGUCGUUUUCUUAGUAGAGAGAAUAAUUCAAAGAAAUCUCAUAAAAGACCAGUGAGGAAGCGCGUGCAAUACCUUGAGAUAAGGAACACUAUUCCCUUAAACAUCACCUUCACAAUAUUUUUCAUGGCUAUCAAUAUAAAAGACUAUGUUUAAUACCCACCUUUCAUGGUAUCGCCUCCACAUAUGCUCUUAUAAUUUUUUUAGUAUGUUCCACAAGGAAAAAAGGCAUGAUACUGGAGAUUACUUCAUGUUGAGGAAUGAAAUUGAAAGACUGAUAUCUAAAGGAUACUUGAAGUAGUUUGUUAAGGGAAAUGCCCACGUAAAUCAUGAUAAAGAAGAACCUAGCCAACCUAACCAAGCUUUACUCGAGAUUAAUAUGAUUCUAAAAAGCACUUGGGUAGGGGAGACACCUUUAGCGGCAACAUGAAAUAUAAGAAAUAGAUCCUUACAAUGGCUUGCCAACAAAGCCCAUGGCACGAGCCCAUUGUUUUCAUUCUAGAAAAUGAAAAAGGGGUGAUUUAUCCCUAUAAAGACACACUGGUUAUUUCCAUGGUUUUGGCUAACCAUAGAGUCCAUAGGAUAUUGGUGGAUUAUGAUAGCUCUAUCAACAUUCUUUUCAUAUAUGUAAUAUUCUAGAUAGGGAUAGAUCCCUCAAAGAUGACUAAUGUGAAAACCCUAUUGAUUGGAACUAAAUGGUCAAGAGUACCUAUUAAAGGGUGCCUUAGAGAUUUUUGUCAUGAUUGGCAUGUACUCAAGGUGCCUCACCCUUCAACAAACCUUUAUAAUGAUUAACAUGAUUUUAGCCUACAAUACCAUAAUAGGAAGGCCUCUUUUGCACCAAAUCAAUGCGGUCAUAAAGCAUGCAAUACUCAGUCUUGAAAUUCACCACUUAUCAUUAUUUAUUAUGUCAAUUGACGAAUAUAUUGAAUACAAAUAUCCAUCUAAACAUAUUUAUUCAACAAAAUUAAAUAUUUAUACAAGUAAUUAUAUAUUGAAUAUUAAAAAUCAUAUCCUACAAUGAAAUAAAAAUUCUUGAUGUAUGUUCAAUAUAAAAUUUUAAUUAGUCCUUUUGAAAGCAAUGUCAUAAAUUAUAUCAUUUGAUUUCAUUAGUUUUAUGAAAGGACUUGAUUGAAAAUUAAUUAGGUUAUAAAUGAUACAUAAUUUGAACCUUAUAUAAUUAUAUAUUUUUAAAUAAUUUAAAGAACUUUGAUGUAACUUGAUCUACUAUUAGAGAUAAUAAUUACUUACUUUUGCUUGCUCUUACAUCUUAAAGAAAAUUGAUUUAAUAAAAAAUAAUUAAUAGUAAGUAUAUUGUAAAAAAAUGUGAUUCGAAGUUUUUAUUUUACCUACUAAUAUUUUACCAUCUAUUUAGAAAGUUAAAACAUAAAUGAUCACUCUUUGCGACAUGCGCACAUAAAAAAGAAAAUAAUAGGCACAAAGUUUGAAGGAAGAGAAAAUAUAAAAAAAAUAAUAAAAUAAAUUAGGUGAGAGUUGUCUCGACAUGAAUCAAUUAACUUUGUUAGUCCAAAGAUAACCUGCCCGACCAGUAAAAAAAGUUCUAGGAUGAAAUUAAAAAAUAAAAUUGAUAGAAAAAAAUCUUAUGACCCAAUUCCUUGUCUAGUUUAGGUUUAAAAUUAAAUUAUAUAAGAGUUGUCUUGAUGAGACCCAAUCGACUUAGCCUAUCAAAAAACAACCCAAUUAACCAAUAAAAAAAAUAUGGAUGAAUUUGAGAAAAAAAGGAUUGAUAAAAAAAUAUUUCAACCUGACUCUUUAUCUAACUUAAAUUUAAAAUUAAAUCGUGUUGAAAUUGCCUCAAUAUGAUGUAGUUAACUUUACUAGUUCAAAGAUAUCCGGAAUGAUUAUUAAUAUUUUUUAACAAUGAAAUCAAAAAUAAAAAAAGGUGCACUUGAAAGAAAAAAUAGGAAAAAUGAAAAAAAAAACUGAAUUGAAAAGAAGCAGAAGAGUAGCUUCACCCAAAAAGCAGUCAAAUUUUUAGUGGAGAACGGUAGGUAAUAUAUUGACAUCACUUUUAAUUCGAAAGAGUUUAUUAUAACUUAAUCCUUGUGAUUUAGCAAAAUUAAUUAAUUAGUUAUGAUAGUUUCAAAAACUUAGAACCACUUUUAUAAUGGAUAUUAAUGAAUGGUUUAAAAUUAUUCAAUUAUAAUAAUAAUAAGGUCAUUAGAACCACUUUUAUAUAAAAAUAAUUAUUAUAAAAAAAUCAUGGCUCACCUUAUCGAAAAACUCUCUGGCUCUCACCAUCUUUAAAUACCAACCGUGAAAAAUCAUUUCUAUGGAGUUGAAUUUUCAAUUUUAUGAAUUCUCCGUCCAAUUGGAGAGAUUGAUAAUUAAUUGUGAAAAUCGUCGAAAGUUCUUUGAUUUCAUACGAAAAGUAUAUAUAUAUAUAUAAUAUUCUCACAUUUCUAGGUGCUUUGAUUUUAUACGAGAAGAAAAUCACGUGGACAUGUCAAACUGAAAAGCAUUCAAAAUUGCCUGUGUUAACUUUUCAGAAUCUCCCUUUGUCUUAUUGUUUGCAAUUUUCUUGUCAUCUUAAAAUAAGGGCGUUGCUCAGAUUAGUCCCCAACUAUCAAUAAAUUCUCAAUAACAUUACAUACCCAAGAAAUGCUACCCUUUCAAGCCAGAACUCGCUUUUUAAGAACUUGCUACACAACUCAUGAUCUUGUAGAGUUUAAAGCAUUAUUUUCAAGUGCUGCUUAUAUUUCUCUCUAGACCUUGAAUACAUCAAAAUAUCAUCAAUAAAAACUAUAAAAAAUCAAUUAAUAAACUGCUUGAACACUCUAAUAAUUAGGUUUGUGAAAACCGUUGACAUAUUCAUUAAUUCAAAAGAUAUCACUAAAAAAUCAUAAUAAUUAUAUCAAGUUUUAAAGGCUAUCUUUGAAAUGUUCUCCUCUCUUAUCUUCAACUGAUGAUACUUAGAUCGAAGAUUGAUCAUAGAAAAGAAUUGAGCUCCAUGCAAUUGGUUAAAUAAAUUAUCUAAUGUAAGGGAAUGGAUACCUAUUUCGAACUACCACAUGAUUCAGUUGCUUAUAAUCUAUACACAAUCUCAAUAACUUAUCCUUCUUCUUGACAAACAACACUAAGGCUCCCCAAGAAAACACACUCGAUUGGAUGAACUCCUUGUCCAAUAAAUCCUGCAGGUGAUCCUUUAGUUCUCUCAACUCUAUUGACAUCAUUAUAUAAGGUGCCAUUGAUAUUGGCUCGGUAUCCGGAACUAAAUCAAUGCAAAAUUCAAUCUCUCUAUAUGGAGACAAUUUAGGUAAGUCAUUGGAAAAGAUAUCAAUAAAAUCCUUGACUAUAAGGACUUGGUUUAAUUGGGGAACUUCUGUCUUUGCAUCCACCAUUUUGAAUAAAAUAAAAACUAAUAGAAACAAAAAAAAAAAUAAAAAUCCCAGCCAUUAGUUUUUUUAUUUCUUAUAUGUUUUUUUUUUAAUUUUGUGAGAAAAAAAAACAAUUUCUUUAAGGACCAAUUCAUUUAUAUAGGAGUUCAAUUUCCAAAUUGAUAUAAAUACAUGACAUUGUUAGGAUGGAAAUGGGAGAAACUUUUCUUUAAGGACCCAUAAUCAUCAAUCUCUCUAGCCAGAGGAAAUGAAUGGAAAAUUCAACCCCAUAUAUGGAAGCAUCCUUUUCUUAUCAGCAAUAAACAUUUUUCCUUAAUUUAUUAAUAGAUAUUUUCAAAAUAAAGGUUUUUUAAACUUUAAUAUCGUACUGGCUGAAUAUUAAUAUGAACAGGAUUCUUGAAAGAUAUUUUGUUUUUCACACAUAUUGAAUAUAAUUACAGUGUGGUUGACUUGGUCACAGGAAGCAAAGAACUUUGGACGAUUUUCACCAUUAAUUAUCAAUCUCCCCAAUUGGAUGGAGAAUUCAUAAAAUUGAAAAUUCAACUCCGUAGAAGCAUCUUUUUCCUUAUUAGCUUUUACUUUCUGUUGAGUCGAAAGACAAAAAAAAAAAAAAUCUAUACUUUCUCUAACUCCAUUUUCAUCUCUUCCUUUUAUCUCAUUUCCCCCUAAUUUUACCAUGGAUAUUAUACGAGGAUGUAAGAAAAGAUUUAUAUUAAUUUAUUAUUAUUAUUAUUUUCGAUUAAUUUUUUUAAAACCAUAAUAUAAAUUUUUUUUAUACAUAUAUUAAAAUUUAUUAAAAAAUAAUAUAAAUUAUAUCUUUUACUUCAUCAAAAAACUUAAGUUAUUAAAUUAAAAUGAUUAUUUAAAAUAAUAUCAGAGUAUAAAUAGUUAAGCAAUCACAAGUUUAAGAUGGUGUUUGGUAUUGUGGCCGCGGGUGAACCUCACCCGCAACCACAACACAGUUUUUUAAUGAUGGAUCCCACCAUUAACUGUGGUGUAACCAUAGUUUACAAGAAGCAGCUCUUGGCUGCUUCUUGUAACGGGAAAAUGGAUGAACAGUAGAGACAUGCUCCACUGUUCAUCCAUUUAAAUUACCAGUGGAGCCAGUGAACAGUUUAGUUUAGGUUUUUUUAUUUUUUAAUUUUGAAAAAUCAGUGUGCUACACUAUUUGUAUGAAAAGUUAAUUUUUUUUUUUGAAAAAUCAGUGUAAUUAAUUGAUUUCACUCGUACUAUUCACGUGAACAUGAACAAUAUUUUUUUUUGUUUGUUAAAAAAAUAGUUUAAGAUGAAUUAAAUUUAUUCGUACUGUAAUCUCAAUUUUAUUCAUGAUAAUAUUUUAUCUAAUUUUAUUGUAUGCUCAAAAAAUCAUGAAAACUAUAGUUUUUGUUGAAUUAAUUUUGUACGUAAUGAAAUUGUAAAUUUUGUUUUCGAAAAAUUGAGUUUUACUCGAAAAACUAGUAUUUAAUAUUAUUUAAUAACAUUAUAUAAAUUAAAAGGAUAUCGCAUGAUGAUGUAUCAUUUGUGGAAUUUGAUUGCAAUUCCAAUUAUGUUCUUGCCGGGUCCGACCCAAUUAAAAAAAAUUCAGUUUUAUUUUUUUUAAUUGUGUUUUAUUCAAAAAAUUAGAAGAAUAUCGCUUGAUGACGUUACAAAAAAUUCAGUUUUUGUUGUUGCAUCCUUAAGAAACUAUAAAAAAUAUAGUUAUUGUUAGAUAGAUUUCGUAUGUGAUAACAUUGCAUAUAGUUUAAUUGAAUAAUAAAAAAUAUUUGAUAUCAAUAUUAUUUAUUUCAUGAUGUAAUAAUAAUAGUUAAAUCUACAAUAUUUAAAUUAAAAAUAUUUUUUAAUUAUUUUAUAACCUCAAUUUGAAAAUCAUUUUUUUAACAAAACACAUUAAACUAUUUUUUGUUCAACCUCAAUUCCAACCACAGUUUUAACCAAACAUAUAUUUUUCCAAACCAACCUCAACUAAAAGUACUUUUUAUAAAAUAACUUUUUUAAAACCACAAACAUAACAGCAACCGCAAUACCAAACACACACAUCUUAUUAUUUUUAUUUAUUUUAUAAAAAUUAAAUAUAAGAUAAUAUAAAUCUAUAUAAAUUUUAAAUUUAAAAAAUAUAUUAAAAAUUAAUAAAUUAUAUUUUACGAAUUCAAAAAUAAUUACAGCAUGGUUAACAUAUUCAAAUAAUAAUAGGAAGCAAAAAACUUUCAACUAUUUCUUCGUUUUUUCCUCCCCGUAAUAGUCUGCUGCUUACAAUAUGUAAACAAGUUUGACCGUUCAAAUAAAAAGACGCCAGGAGUCCUAUAGCAUCUCCGAUGGAAAACUAAAAAUAAAAAAUUAAUAUUUUAAUUUUUAUUUUUUGCAUAUUUCAAAGAGAAAUUCAAAUAAAAUGCUAAAAUAUUUUUUUUUUCACAAAUGCUAUUUUUACAUAUCUCUUCAAAGAGCCAAAACCAAUAAAGUGGGGCCAUUAAAAAAAUAAAAAAUAAAUAUAACCAUGUAGAAAAAAAAACAUUAAAUUUAUUAAAAAUUAAUAAAACACUUGUUUUUUCUCAAUAUAAAUACUCUUCAAAUAAUUUUUUUUUAUAGGAAUAGAUAUGAUAAAAAAAAUUAUAUUUAUACUAUUUAAAAUAUUAUUUUAUCAAUUUAACUUUUUAAAAUAUCAUUUUGAGUUGCUCUUAAGAGCCGCCAGUACAGUCCUUAUAAGUAUAGGCACAUUCAUGUUCAUUUUUUCAUUGGCGCUCCAUUUCAGUACUUUGUCUCCCUUGGAAACAAAAUCAUUUUAGCUGUUCAUUUAGAUUUCUAUGAUUCAAGUUCCAAAACCCAGAAAGAAGAAUAGAGGAACAAAAUCUGGGGUUUGGUUUGUUUUAGUUGUUGUUUAAGUAUACUGAUCCACCAUCAAUGGGGAGUGCUGAUAUUUACAGAGCUAGUAGUAGUUUAAGAGAUAGUUUAAGAGCAGGUUCGUUUGUAUGGAGAAACAGUACUGUAGAAGCAUUUUCAAGAUCUUCACGAGAAGAAGAUGAUGAAGAGGCUCUAAAAUGGGCUGCGCUGGAGAAACUACCUACUUAUGAUCGUUUAAGGAAAGGUAUAUUGAUGAGUGCAUCACGAGGUGUAAGUAGUGAGGUAGAUAUCGAAAAACUCGGAGUCCAAGAGAGAAAACAGUUGUUGGAAAGGUUGGUCAAAGCUGCAGACGAGGAUAAUGAGAGGUUCUUGUGGAAACUCAAGAAUCGUAUUGAAAGGUAAAAUAUUCUCCUUUGGUUUGUACAUUUACUUUGUUUGGUUGCAGAGAAAAUUUUAGAAAGGAAUCAAGUUUUUAGAUCGAAACAAAAUGGUUCUACUUAAUUGGAUACUUGUUAGUCUCUCUUUCAUGAUAUAUGGAUUGAUCUAAAAAGAAAACAUGGAUUUUGUUCUCCCUCUAUUUACUUGGAAUACAGAGGAACUCUGUUUUGGCUGUUGAAGUUCUUGAUUUUUGGCGUUUCAGGGUUGGAAUUGAGCUUCCAACAAUUGAAGUGCGGUACGAGCAUCUAAAUAUUGGAGCUGAAGCUUAUGUAGGAAGUGGUGCUUUGCCUUCAUUUGCUAAGUUCACUUUUAGUAUAAUAGAGGUAACUACAGCUGCAAACAUUUGACGUCAGUUAAUACAACCGAUUGCCAAAAUAUGAUGCUUUCUUAUUAGCUAAUAACUCAUACAUCAAUUUUGAAGGGUCUACUCAUUGCUCUUCGUAUACUUCCAAGUAGAAAGAGACCACUCACCAUCCUUAAGGAUGUUAGUGGAAUCGUCAAGCCAUCAAGGUAAGAUGAUCAUGAUGUAGAAUCUGUUUGCUUCAAUAGUUUGUUGCCUAUUCUUAAGUUUUGUUUUUUUGCUAUGUACAUGUUUUAGAUUGACUCUGCUCUUGGGUCCUCCAAGUUCUGGGAAGACCACUCUUCUGUUGGCAUUGGCUGGAAAGCUUGAUCCCAGUCUUAAGGUGGUGAUAGAUUCUCGUAAAUUUGUGUAUCCCAUGAGGAUUUAGCUUUUGUUUUCUGCUUUAAUCUGAGAAUCUGAAUUCUUUCUUGCAGUAUUCUGGUCGCGUGACAUACAAUGGUCAUGGGAUGAACGAGUUCGUACCUCAAAGAACGGCUUCCUAUAUCAGUCAACAAGAUCUCCAUAUAGGAGAAAUGACCGUGAGGGAAACUUUGGCCUUCUCUGCCAGAUGCCAAGGGGUUGGAAACCUUCACGGUUAGAAUAAUGGACUAGAUUUUAUAUGCAUAUCCCAACAGAAUCAUAAUCCACUCUAGUGAUCUGUUCAAUAUUCAUAAUUUAAACAUGACUACUAAGUAAAAAUCCUUGCAAUUGUCAGAUAUGUUGGCAGAGUUGUCGAGAAGAGAGAAAGAAGCCAACAUUAAGCCUGAUCCAGAUAUUGAUGUCUUCUUGAAGGUGAUGAAAUAUAUUACUAUUUUGCCUAUUAGACUUCCUUUAUGGUAGCUAGAAUAAGCUACGAUGAUGUAGAAAGCAAUGUUCAUUUUCUGUUGUUUCUGGUAUUACAGGCAGUAGCAACACAGGGUCAAGAGGCCAAUGUCAUCACCGAUUACGUCUUAAAGGUAGUACCACUAUGUAGCAUUGAAAUGUCAUGAAAGUCUUCAGAAAACGUGAACAUAAUAUCUCUAAAUCUCUUAAAUUCUCUGGAAAUUGUAGAUAUUAGGAUUGGAGGUCUGCGCAGAUACUCUGGUAGGUGAUGAAAUGAUAAGGGGUAUCUCUGGAGGACAAAGGAAGCGUGUUACAACUGGUAAAAAUCUCCAUUAGUCCAUAACUAACAUCAUAGAAAAAUUAUUUCGCUUCACUCUCCAAUUAAUCUAUAGAGAUCUCCAUUGAUCUGUCAUAGGUGAAAUGCUGGUCGGACCAUCAAGGGCAUUGUUUAUGGAUGAGAUUUCUACUGGCUUGGACAGCUCAACAACUCACCAAAUUGUGAACUCAUUAAAGCAAACUAUUCACAUUCUCAAUUGCACUGCCGUCAUCUCGCUUCUCCAGCCAGCACCGGAGACUUAUGACCUCUUUGAUGACAUUAUUCUCCUGUCAGAUGGCCAAAUUGUGUACCAGGGUCCUCGUGAAAAUGUGCUUGGAUUUUUUGAACAUAUGGGCUUCCAGUGUCCUGAAAGAAAAGGCGUGGCAGAUUUUUUGCAAGAAGUAAGCUUAAAUGAAGCGGUUUUACAUGGAACCUUUAUUACACUAGGAUCUCCUAUAUUCAAUAAAAAGAGCCUCGUGUAAGUAUCACAAUCUUCAUGAUCGAUAAUGAAGGAGUUUUUCGCAGGUGACGUCUAGGAAAGAUCAAGAGAAGUAUUGGGCACGUAAAGAUCAGCCUUACAGGUUUAUCACAGUCAACGAAUUUGCUGAGGCAUUUCAAUCAAUCAGCGUGGGACGAAGGGUCAUAGAGGAGCUUGCAAUCCCAUUUGACAAGACCAAGAACCAUCCAGCGGCAUUGGUAAACAAAAAGUACGGAGCUGGAAAGAUGGAUCUGCUUAAAGCUAACUUCUCAAGAGAAUUCUUGCUCAUGAAGAGGAACUCAUUUGUCUACAUCUUCAAGAUAUUCCAAGUAAUUAUCGAUAGUCAUUACAAUAUCCAAGUUCUGUUUACUUUCAAAUUUUGCAUUCAAUGUGACUCCUUUUCACUUCGUAUCAGCUUACAAUGAUGGCAAUUAUUUCAAUGACACUCUUCUUCCGGACCAAGAUGCCUCGAGAUACAGUCACGGAUGGUGGAAUUUAUACUGGUGCUUUGUUCUUCACUGCGAUCAUGAUCAUGUUUAAUGGUAUGGCUGAGCUAUCUAUGACCAUCGCGAAGCUUCCUGUGUUCUACAAGCAAAGGGAACUCCUAUUCUUUCCUCCAUGGACAUAUUCAAUUCCGCCUUGGAUCUUGAAAAUUCCCAUUACAUUUGUUGAAGUUGCUGCAUGGGUGUUCCUAACUUAUUAUGUAAUUGGAUUUGAUCCAAACAUUGCAAGGUAAAUAAGAAUUCUUGAUUUUCUGUAAGCUUGUACCAGAAUCCAUUCUGAUCCAGCUGUUAUAACAAGGUUGUGUUUCUUUCUUUCAUUUUUUGCAGGUUUUUUAAGCUGUACUUGGUGCUUGUGCUAAUUAACCAGAUGGCGUCUGCACUAUUUCGAUUUAUUGCUGCAGCUGGAAGGAACAUGAUUGUUGCUAACACCUUUGGAUCAUUUGUGCUCCUUGCACUUUUUGCGUUGGGUGGCGUCAUCUUGUCCAGAGGUAUGAUGAGUAUAAUAUCGCACUCGAAAAUUAUAUUUUUUCUGCCAAGCCUGGAGGAACUCAUAAUGUGUUUUUUUGUUGAAUGGAACAGAGCAAAUAAAGAAAUGGUGGAUAUGGGGUUACUGGGCUUCACCAUUGAUGUACGGGCAGAGCGCAAUAGUAGUGAAUGAGUUCCUUGGACAUAGCUGGAGUCAUGUAUGGUUUCUUUAACUCACCGUUUGUAUAUUUGUGCCAUCGGCUCUCAAUAAUCAACUGGUAUCUGAAGUUAUUUUUCGAAUCACAGAUUCCUGCAGGCUCCACAGAAUCACUAGGAAUCCAAGUUUUGAAGAGUCGCGAAUUCUUCACAGAAGCGUAUUGGUACUGGAUAGGAGUCGGGGCAACAGCAGGAUUCAUACUACUAUUCAAUGUCUGCUUUGUUGUGGCCCUCACUGUCCUCGAUCGUAAGUGUCAUUACCUUCACAACGCCAUACCUCUUGAAAGUUGGAGCUUAUAUUAAUAUAUAGCAAAUUAUGUUGGCAGCAUUUGAGAAGCCUCAGGCUGUUAUAUCUGAAGAACCGGAAAGUGGUGAUUCUGAAGGAGCUGUUCAGUUAUCAAACCGUGGAAUCAGUCACCAAACCAACACAGGUAAAAGAACUCAAAUAAUGAAGUGCUCAAGUCAUUUCCCAGCCUAUUAGGUAUCAAAUUACCGAUAUAUUUUCAAUUUACAAGCAGCGAGUGGAGUUGAAAUUAAUAGAAGUGGUUCAGAUUCCAUUGGUGAGGCCAGCAACAACAGGAAGAAAGGAAUGGUUCUUCCAUUUGAACCACAUUCCAUCACAUUUAAUGACGUUAUUUACUCCGUUGACAUGCCACAGGUAUCAAGAUUCAGUAGUACGAUUAUAUCUCGCUUUGAUGUCAUAUGAUUGAAUGAACAUAGAAAUACUGAUCAUGUUGGUAUUGAGAUUUGCAGGAAAUGAAAGUUCAAGGAGUCGCUGAGGAUAGGCUGGCGCUUUUGAAGGGUGUGAGUGGUGCUUUCAGGCCCGGUAUCCUUACAGCUUUGAUGGGUGUUAGUGGUGCUGGAAAAACGACUUUGAUGGACGUGUUAGCUGGUAGGAAAACUGGUGGAUAUAUUGAGGGAGACAUCAAGAUUUCAGGGUACCCAAAGAAGCAAGAAACUUUUGCUAGAAUUUCUGGAUACUGUGAGCAAAAUGACAUUCACUCUCCACAAGUUACCGUCUAUGAAUCCUUACUCUACUCAGCUUGGCUUCGUCUACCUUCAGAAGUUGACUCUGAAACCAGAAAGGUAGGCACCGUUUGCCUUGAAUUUAAAUAUGCUUCAUACAUUAGGUAUUUAGCGUGCAGAUUUGGGUUCCGUGAAUAUUUUCUUGUUUUCGUGUUUACUUUCAUCCAUUUAAGUUUAAUUUAGCUUUACCAUUUUGUACUUUAUCCUUGGAUCAAGGUCAAUGUCCCGGUUCUAUCUAGCAAAGGAUACUGCUGGUGAAGUUGAUCUUAUGCGGUGAUUGUGCUAAAUAUUAUGGUUUUUUUUAGUCGGCCUAACCCAAUCAACUUCUUCAUUUCUAGAUGUUCAUUGAGCAAGUCAUGGAUCUUGUGGAGUUGAAUCCGUUGCGCAGUGCAUUAGUUGGGUUGCCUGGUGUGAAUGGUUUGUCCACUGAGCAACGCAAGCGGCUAACCAUUGCAGUUGAGCUAGUUGCAAACCCUUCUAUCAUAUUCAUGGACGAGCCAACUUCAGGGCUAGAUGCUAGAGCCGCUGCCAUUGUGAUGAGAACAGUUAGGAACACUGUUGACACAGGAAGAACAGUUGUUUGCACCAUCCAUCAGCCCAGUAUAGAUAUAUUUGAUGCCUUUGAUGAGGUAAAAAUUGUCAACAAAUUAUCUGAUCUAGAACUUUGUCAAGAGUUUAUCAACAUAAUAACCUGGAUUAUUAACAUGGCAUUGUAGUUGUUCCUGAUGAAGCGAGGAGGUGAAGAGAUAUAUGUUGGGCCAGUGGGUCGUCACUCUAUCCAUCUGAUUAAGUACUUUGAGGUAUGUUUAAUUUGGUUAAUAAUUAAAUAACCUAUGCUCAUACCAACUAUAACUGACUAAUAUUCAUUUAAUUGUUAAGGAAAUUGAAGGAGCGAGUAAAAUUAAAGAUGGCUAUAAUCCAGCAACUUGGAUGCUGGAGGUUACUUCAUCGUCGCAAGAGAUGGCUUUGGGGGUUGAUUUUGCUGACAUUUACAAGAAUUCAGAUCUGUUCAGGUCAGCUAAAGUAGUUUUUUAAAGUACUGAAAAAUAUUCUAAAGCCCUCCCAAAUAAGCUUUGAUGACAUGAAAUAGUAAAGCACUUAAUAAUUGAGAAUUAGAGUUCAAUUUGUCUAAAGUUUGUCUCUGAUGCGUGGCUUAAUUCAGGAGAAACAAAGCACUUAUUGCAGAACUAAGCACACCUGCUCCUGGCUCGAAGGACAUUUAUUUCUCCACGCAGUACUCGACAUCAUUUUUCACACAAUGCAUGGCUUGCUUGUGGAAGCAACACUGGUCAUACUGGAGGAAUCCACCAUACACUGCCGUGAGAUUUCUUUUCACAACCUUUAUCGGGUUGAUGUUUGGGACAAUGUUCUGGGACCUUGGCUCCAAAGUGUAAGUCACAAUGGCUAGCUUAAAACAAUACAUAUAGAAGGUGACGCUUUGAUGGUUUGCCACAUGCAGUUCUACCAAUUCAUCUAACUUGUCUUACAAACUGUAGGAGCACUACCCAGGAUCUUUCCAAUGCUAUGGGUUCAAUGUAUGCAGCAGUUCUUUUCCUUGGUUUUCAAAAUGGAUCAGCUGUACAGCCAGUGGUGGCUGUUGAAAGAACCGUCUUCUACAGAGAAAGAGCUGCCGGAAUGUAUUCAGCUUUGCCCUAUGCCUUUGCACAGGUAAUCUAGGAUUCACCUCAUCAAGUAAAUUAUUAUUGCAUGUUUCAUGCAUUGAUCACCAAAACUUCAUCUUAUGUUGCAGGUCUUGAUUGAGAUUCCUUAUGUGUUUGUUCAAUCCGCUGUCUAUGGUGUUAUAGUUUAUGCAAUGAUUGGGUUUGAAUGGACUGCUGCUAAGUUCUUUUGGUAUCUGUUCUUUAUGUACUUCACAUUAUUAUACUUCACCUUAUAUGGAAUGAUGUCCGUGGCUGUGACUCCAAACCACCACAUUGCCGCCAUAGUUUCCACCGCAUUUUAUUUAAUAUGGAACCUCUUCUCGGGAUAUAUAGUCCCUCGACCUGUAAGUGCUAAAUAUAUAUAUAUAUCUUAAUCAUUUCAAAUUCUAAGUUUCCAUAGUGACUGCUUACCUUGAGGAACAAUAUUGUGAUUCUUUUUUCUGCCUUGGUCUAUUACAACAGCGCAUACCUGUAUGGUGGAGGUGGUACUACUGGGCAUGCCCCGUAUCAUGGUCCUUGUAUGGAUUGGUUGUAUCACAGUAUGGAGAUAUACAGAAAGAACUCACCGGAACUCAAACAGUGAAACAAUAUGUGAAAGACUAUUUCGGAUUCGACCAUGAUUUUGUUGGAGUAGUUGCAGCCGCGGUUCUUGGCUGGACAGUCCUCUUUGCGUUCAUAUUUGCCUUCUCUAUCAGAGCCUUCAACUUCCAGAGGCGAUAGGGAUUUUCUUUAACACGCUUCAAUCUAUGUUUCUCCCUUUUCUGUGUUGUUACAUGUUUGUAACAACACGUUAAUAUAGUUUAUUGAAACUUAUUAACUAAGAUAAUUAAGUUAAUGUUAAUUAAUGCUUGUAGUUCCACAAACUGCAUACAUACUUCAUCUCUUAAAUCUAUAUGUAACUUCCAUGUCCUUUAAUUUCCUAUUUAUUUGGGUUUUGAAAAUAAUGAUUUAUUCUUUACUAUUCUAUAUGCUUAAUGAGGUUUUUAUAUUCCUUAAUAAUUAAAAAUAAAACUCUCUUUUUUUUAAUCUUAAUAUGACUGGUUUAAGACAAGAUGAGUAGGAGAAACAAAAAAUUGGAGGUGAACCUCGUUCACUACUUCAUAUUAUUGAUCAGCCAAUAGUGCUAUGGCACAUGUCAUCCUAUUUAACUACAUCAUUAACUUGAAAAUAGAAAAUAAUAACUGAUCAUUAUAAACAAAAUCGAAAUGAGUAGGACCAGAAAAGGUUUCCAAAAUGAUUAGCUAUUAAAAUUCCAAAACUUCAACAGCUAAAAACUUGUAAUGUUUUCAAAUAAAAAGAAAGAUUUUGUAAUGUUUUGAAUUAAAAAGUAGGAAAAAGACAAUAAAGUCCUUGAAGGCUUAAACAGUAAAUAUAAUUAAAGGAGGGGUAUUGUAGUAAUUGAAUAAAAAGAUGAUAAAUAUAAAUAGGAAAAAGAGAGAGAGAGCUGUGUUCUUAGAGAACAAACCGCGAGAGAGUAGGGAGAAAGAAGAAGAAAAAAAAGAAAAAAGAAGAAAAUUAAAAGGGAAAUAGAAAGGAGUUGGAGGAAAUAAAUUUAAAGGUAAGAUUUAGGUUGUUCAAUGUAUGUUAAUUGAGUUUUUAACUUCUAUUUUAAUAAAUGUUAGGGUUUUGAAGAUUGUGUUUUGGGUUUAAUUGAUGAAUUAAUUUGAAUAUUAUGGGGUUGAUUGUUAUGGGUAAUGGAUUGUUUAGUUGAUUUUGAGAGAUUGUAGGUAAAGAUGAUGAUUUGAGAUAAGAUUUGUGUAAAUGAUGAUAAAAUUUCGGUUUGGUCCCUCAAUUUGUAAAAAUUACAGUUUAGUCCCCAAACUUUAGAAAAUUACAAAUUGGUCCUUAGAGCAUAUUACGAGAUUCUGAAUAGAAUAAAAGAUGAAUCAUUGGCAGAAUUUCUGUAUAGUUAUGAAAUUUUAACACUUUCAAUUUGGUCAUUCAAUUUGAAAAAAAUUACAAUUUGACCUUAAAAAUUUGAAAAAAAUUCUAUAAUGGUUCCUAGAGCAUAAUGAGAUAUUCUGGACAGAAUUGAGAAUUAAAUAUGGUUAUAAUUUCAGUAUAGUCAUGGAUUUACAUUUUUAUGCUGUAUAUCAUUUUUUAUGACAUUGAAUCAUUGACGAAACCAACAUAAUAAAAAGAAAGCUGCCAUUUCUUGUAAGAAACUCAAAACUUUCUUUUAAAAAAUAGCUUUUUAUUUGUUAGAGAAUCUUUUUGAGCCAUUUUCAAAACAACUUUUUCUUCACAAACCCAUUUUCUCAUAUGCCAAAACAAUAUUUAAAAUUUCCUUAUAGGAUAUUUUGUGCUUUUGACCAAAUACAUCUAAAUAUCUAUGGGAUGAAAAUACUUCAUAUUUAUAUCUUAAUGGUUUUUUUUUUUCAAUAAUUGGACCUAUAUGGACACAAUCAUUAAAUUUAUGGCUUAGUUCCAAAAUAAUAAAGAUGAUUUAAAAAAGAAAAUGUUUUACAACAGAUUUUCUCAUUGAUUGAAUUUAUAAAUAAAAAUAAAUCCAAACCUUUUAAUCAUGAAGUCUUAAGCCCUGCUAUCAGGGAAUUCCAAACUCUAUUAUCAAGAAGUCUAAGUUCUAUAAUCAGGAAGUUUAAAGCUAUGUCACUAGGGAGUUCCAAGCUUUACUAUUAGAAAGUCCAAUUCUUGUAAUCAGGAAGUUUAAAGUCCUGUCAUUAGAAAAUUCCAAGCCCUAUUAUAAUGAAAUUUCAAGCCCUAAUAUUAGGAAGUUCAAGGCAUGCAAUAAUAAAGUUUUAAACCUUGUCAUCAUGAAGUUUCAAGCCCUUCCAUCAGGGAACUUCAAGCUCUCUAGUCAGGAAGUCCAAGUUUUAUAAUUAGAAAGUUCAAAGCCUUGUCACCAGGAAGUCCAAGCCUUGUCAUUAGAAAUCUUAAGCCAUGUCAUCAGGAAUCUUAAGCCCUGUAAUUAGGAAUUUUAAACCUUGUCAUUAUGAAAUUUCAAGUCCUGCCAUCAAAAAGUACACCCUUCCAUCAAGGUUGGUCACCUAUCAAUUUUGAUGUAUUUUUUUUUAAUUUAAAUUUAAUGACAAGGUUGAUCACCUAACAAUUUUGAUCUAUUUUUUAAAAUCUCAUGUCAAGGUUGGUUACCUAACAAUUGAAGAUUUAAGAAUCAAUUUUGAAACAAAAAUAAAUACUUAGACAGUUUUUUUCCUCAUUGUCCAUAGGUCACGUUUUAAAUUGUUUUAGUCCUAACAUUUUUUUUAAUUUUUUAUUCACGUUCAUUGGGUUUUUUAGCCAUGAUCCAGUGACAACAAAAAAUCAUCCUUGAUGUCAAUAUGUUUCUUUUUACAGGACGGGUUCCUUUAUAGUUUUUUAGCCCUUCAUCUUAGCCAAAAAAAAGUUUGUUCUUUUCAUUUUUAGAGAGCUUAGAGUCUAAUUUGAGGUUAUGAACAAGUUUAUUAAGAUCUCAAUGGAGCUUUUUAGGUGUUUUCGAGUGAAUGAAGGGUUGGAAAACGGGUUCCCUGCUAUCAAGGUUGGUCAGCUAACAAAUUUAACCCAUUUUUAAUUCUCAUCUCGAUAUUGAUCACUUAACAAUUUUAACCCAUUUUUAAUUCUCAUUUUGAGGUUAGUCACCUAACAAUUUUGACCCAUUUCUUUUAAUUUAAAUUUCAUGACAAGGUUUGUCACCUAACAAAUUUGACAAAUUUUUAAUUUUUAUUUUGAGGUUGGUCACCUAAAAAUUGAAGUUUAGGGAUCAAAGUUGAAACUAAAACAAAUACUUAGCCUUUUUUUUUUCUUGUCAUGCAUGAGUCAUGUUUUAAAUUCUUUUACUCCUAGAUUUUUUUUAUCCUAAUUUCUUAAGGUUUUAAGCCACAAUCUAGUGACAAAAAAGGUCUUUUUUGGUGUCAAUAUGUUUUUUUUACAAGAGAGGUUCUAUUAUAGUGUUUUUAGCCUUUCAUCUUAUUAUACAAAUUUUAAUGGGUCUUGUCACACCCUCACGACGACCCUCGAUUGAUUUUAGGGUUUUUUUUGUGCAUAAGGGAGUCGCCAUCUAAUAUUAUGGUCACUAGAAAACCUAAUUGAUUUUUUAGAGAUUCUAAGGCAAGGGACUGGUUGCAUAUAGGUAAGGUAUUAGCACCCCUAGUACGCCCUAUCUAAGAUAAGCUGCUUUAUGUUUGGUUUGCCUUAUAAUUGCUAUGGUGUUGGUGUUUUCUAAUCCCAUCAAUUUUCUUAGGAUACAUUUUGCUAUGAUGAACAAACUUAGACUGAAAGUCUAAAAAUAAAAAACCCUUGGUCAAUGUGGAUCACAUCCUUAGAUAUGUCUACAAAGUACCAAGAAGAAUUAACGCAGAUCUCUUGAAAUUUGUGUUUGAUUCAGACUAAAUCUAUUAAGAUAGAAAUCCAAGCAGAUUCCAUAUGCUUUAAAAGCUCUUUUUUCCCUUAGUAUUUCAAGAGUUUUGCGACUCGUAAAUCGCAAGGAGAAUUGACAAAAAUUUAGAAAUCUAAGGAAAUUGAGGGCACUUUAAAAGCCUAUUUUUUCCUUAGUGUUUCAUACUCUCACGGCUCGUAAACCAUGGAGUCAAAAAUUGAAAUUUCCUAAAUUAUAAUCGAGGCUUCUUUCAAGGAUGUGUGAUGAUUUAUUAUUCCUAGAAAAUUAUUUUGGAUAUUUACCACUUAGGGUUUCUUUCUCCAAAUAUUAACAUUGAAUAAUAACAAGUUAUUCCCAAUAAUAUUUUGGAUAUUCAUCCCUUUGGUAUUUCUUUAUCCAAACAUUGAAAUGAUGGCCCGUUGGCUGGUCGAUAUUUCUCCUCUGUUUCUCAUGUUGCUGGAAGGGAAGGAUGGCUUCUCCUGAUUUUGCUACUGCGGCUGAGGAAAGGUGUGGCUUCUGCUGGUUCCAUCAUUGCGGUUGAGGAGGCUACAGCUGGGCAAGUGGCUCAACUUGUUUUUGGUUAUUGUUGGUGUUGGCCAUGGUUUAGCAGAGGUGGUGCUGCUAGCUGCUGGGAUUUUUCGAGGGAGGCUGGUCUGCGAUUCUGGUGUUGCUUCUCUGUUACUAUCGGUGGAAGGGCUAGCUGUGGCUUCUGGUUUUGAAUGUUAUCAGGCGGGGCUGAGCUGAGGAAGAGAUGGGAUGAGUGGAGAGUCGUUUCCUGGGGUUGUGUUGAUAGAGAGGGAAGGCAUGUAAGGGUUGUUCACGGCGGUUGCAAGCUGGGGUAGUAAGGUUUGGUGAAGGGAGAAGAGAAGCUUGUGUGCAAAGGGAAAGUUUUGGCUGAGAAAAAGGGAGGAACAAUGACGACUGUUGUGGAGAGGGAGGGUGGCAGCUGCCUCUUGGUUGGGAGAGAAAAUCGUGAGUUUGUGUUCAGCUAAAGAGGGAAGGUCGUACGUGUGGGGGCUGAGGGAGGAGAAGAAGAUAGGGAAAAAGCUGGGGAGGGUUUUGGUUUUUUUUUCUCUCUCGCCCCCUAGGGAUGGAUGGUUGGCUUGAUAAAUAUGGGUUUUUUUAGGGUUUUCUGUGUGCCAUUCCUUUAAAAUUCUUCCCUCUAGUGCAUAUGGUUGGAGGUUCACUUAUAUAGAAAAUCUCUACACGUACUAUUUAAGGAAAUAUUGCUAUAAUUAUUGUAGAGAUUGUGUUUUAUAACCAACACCAACAAAUCCUAUAUAUAUAUAUAUAUAUAUAUAUAUAUAUAUAUAUAUGAUAUUUUAUAUUGCAGUGAUUAUUUUCCAUAACCAGUGUUGUAACCCAUUUUUGGGUCCCCAUGAAAAAUAAAAUAAAUAGCCAAAAGAGGUUUAGAAAAAUAACAGGAGGCAGAAGAGCUCAGAAAACAGUCAGAAAAUUGGGCAAGGAAUUUGAAAAUACAAGGAUUGAAAUUUUGACAGUAUAUUCUUGAAGGAUGAGAGCCUUAUUAAGAAAGAAAAUUUAAAUUUUGAGGAGAAAAGCCCACAUUUGGAUGUUCAUGGACUUAAUUGGAUUUUUAUUUGAAUUUAUAGAGGAUUUGAUUGCAAUAAAAAUUAAUUUUUAAGUCAAUUUGGGCUUUAAUUAGAAGAAAUUUAAGUUCUGGGGCCAAAAUAUAUUUUUUAGGAAUUUAUUAGGUCAAAUCAGGGGCUUAAUUGCAUAAAUAUUGAAGUUUAAUGGCCAAUUAGGGACUUAAUUGUGAAAAUCCGAAACCAGGGACCAAUUUAGAGAAGGCGCAAAGAUAGAGGGGGCUGUUUGGAAUUGAUUCAGGGGCUUAAUUGAAGAAAUUGGAAGUUUAUUGAUCAAUUAGGAGCUUAAUUGUGAAAAUCAGAGGCCAAGGACCAAAGUGAAAAACGCGGCCAACUAUAAGGGUAGGGACCGAAUUUGGCAGGGACGCAAUUGAAUUUUAUUCUUAAAAUUAGGACUCGAUUGAAGGACUUAAUAGAACAAAUGAUAAAUUAAGGACUGAUUCAAAACAAAUGUUCUGGCGCCUUUUUUUUAAAAUGAAACGGCGUGUUUUCUUCAAAACGACGCCGUUUCAUGAAUAAUUAAAAAAAAAAAACCGAACGGUGCCGUUUUGAACGACACUGUUCACCUUUCUUCUUCCCCCGAACAUUACAGCGGGGAAGAAGGAAAAGUUUGCAUUUUUUAUUUGUUGCAGGUCCCUCUUGCCACCGACCGACCGAGGCCCCACGCUGGUGGGCCACCGACAUAAGACACUGGCCGACCACCAGCCACGCUGCCGAAGCUGAGGGAGGCCCGCCUGGACAGCCGCUCCUUGACCCGCUCCUUGGCUCCACGGUGAAGCCACGCCCGCUGGUUCUAUAAAUAGAGAACCGAAAGAGAGAACAUGGGACGAAAAACAAAAGAAAAAGAAGAGGAACCCGAAGAGAACAAAAGGAGAGAGAGAGACCGAAGGAGAGAGAAACCACCGAACUUAAGAAACAACCACCGAAAACCCAAAACUAAGAAGCUUGGGAAAAUUUGAAGCCGAUAGGAAACUCAAGAAACCGAAACAGAAGCAACGAACCGGGUGAACGACGACGAACCGUGGGAAACAGCCGUAGAGUCGCCUGACCCGCCGUCCGUAAGCCACGACGCUGCCACCGCCAGCAAGCCGUCGUCUCCAUCGCGACAUGUAAGCUCUCCCCCCUGCACAUUUUUCUUGUAUUACUUAUAAAUUUCGUCUCCUGCAUGCAGAAUCGUUCUGCAUGCAGGGGACGGGGGGGGAAUAAUUCCCCCCGUUCUAUCUUCUCUUCUGGGCCAGACGGUUUCUGGCCCAACCCAGCGGUCUGGGCCGGGUCCGGCCCAGACCAAGUUAGGAUUUUUGGGCCGAAUCCGGCCCAAGACUUGUGGGGCUGAGUCCGGCCCAGUUAGUUGGGCCGGCCCAGCCCCCUUAAUAUAUAAAUAUAUUAUAAUUAUAUAAUAUUAUUAUUAUUAUAUUAUGUGUGUGUGUGUGUGUGUGUAUAUAUAUAUAUAUAUGUUUUAAAAAAAAUAUGAAAAAAUCUAAAACAAAAUGUUGUUGUUUUCUUUUCAUAUAAAUAUAUUUUUGUUUUAUACAUUUGGUUUGUAUUUUUAUACUGUGGAGAUACAAAUUCAGUGUUUAAAAUACCCGGUUUUCGUCCAGACAUCCAAGAUUUUCAAAUAUAAUUUUUUUUUUUUGCUUUCAAAUUUUUUUCUAAAAUUCAUUAAAAAUAUUGUGGAUUUUUCCGCACAUUUGUUGUAUGACUUAAUAUUGGUUUGUAUUUUUAUAGAUACAAAUUCAGUAUUAAAAUACCCGAUUUCGUAAAAACAAAAAAUGUUUUUUUUAAAAGAAAAUGUUUUAUUGCGUGUUGCAUACGGCCAAUACUCUAACAUGUUUUGAAUGUUCUUUUUAUAAAAAAAAUAUUGGAAGUUUUGAAAAUGUGUUUUCGCAUAGAUUUCUUAAACACAAAUUAUUUUCUUGCAUUUCUGGAUUUUACAACAUGUUUGUAAAACUCCAAAGGGUAUUGGCCAUUAUUCCAAAAACUAUAAAAAUCUUAUUUUGGGAGGGGAAUUCAUCUAUUAUUCACCGCUAAUGUUUGGAUAAAGAAAUCCUUAAAGGAUGAAUAUCCAAAAUGUUAUUGGGAGUAAUAAAUCCGCACACAUCCUUGAAAGAAGCCUUGAUUAUAAUCGAGGACAUUUCAAAACUUCAAAUUUUUUACUCCACGGUUUACGAGCCGUGAAAGUUUGAAAUACUAAGGCAAAAGGAGGCUUUUAAAAGCGCUUUGAAUUUCCUUAGAUUUGUAAAUUUUUUGUCCCUCCUUCUUGCGAUUUACGAGUCGCAAACUCUUGAAAUACUAAGGGAAAAAUGAGCUUUCAAAGCACAUGGAAUCUCCUUGGAUUUCUAUCCAAAUAAAUUUUAUUUGAAUCAAACCUAGGAAAAUUGAUGGGAUUAGAAAACACCAACAUCAUAGCAAUUAUAGAGCAAACCAAACACCAAGCAGCUUACCUUAGGUAGGGCGUACUAGGGGUGCUAAUACCUUCCCUUUACGCAACCAGUCCCUUGCCUUAGAAUCUCUGAAAGACCAGUUAGGGUUCCUAGUGACCAAAAUACUAGGUGGCGACUCCAAAGAACAAAAUCCGCAAAACAAAAUGAAAUAUCGCCAGCCGAUGCCGCAUUGGAUUUUUUAAGAGGUGCGACAACCAGCACGAAUCAAAUCAUAUAUCUAUGAUAUUUUAUAUUGUAGUAAUUAUAUAUGAUUCAGUAAUUAUCUCCUUGACAUAUUGCUUCCAUAAUAUUAGCCACAUGUAAACCCUUAUUUAUUUUUUUUGAAAAUUUAUCAAAACAUGGAUCAAAAAUUGGGUAGCAACAAGUCUUUUCAUUUUUAGGAAGCUUAGAGUCUCACUUAAGGUUAUGAACAAAUAUAUUGAGGUCUCAAUGGUAUUUUAGGUGUUUUCGAGUGAAUAAAGGAGUUGAAAAUAGGUUCUUUGCCAUCAAGAUUGGUCACCUAACAAUCUUGAUCUAUUUUUUUUUUAAUUUAAAUUUUAUGACAAGGUUGGUCACCUAACAAUUUGAUCUUUUUUUUAAUUUAAAUUCAAUGAAAAGAUUGGUCACCUAUACAUUUCACCCAUUUUUAAUUCUCAUUUCGAGGCUUGUCACCUAACAAUUUUUUCCUAUUUUUAAAAUUUAAAUUUCAUGACAAGUUUGGUCACCUAGCGACUUUGACUCAUUUUGAAUUCUCAUUUCGAGGUUGGUCACCUAAUAUUCUUGACCUAUUUAAAAAAAUUUCUAUUAAGAACAAUUUGGCCCUAUUUAGAUUUUGUAUUAAUGUUGGUCACCUAAUUAUUGGGAUCCAUUUCAUUUUUCUUGUGUUAUCUUUCUUUUCUUUACAAACUCACUAUACAAAGUUAAAAAAACAAAAAAUUACAAUGAUUUUGUGUUGUACGUACUGUAAAUAGGAAACAAUUGUUAUAACCUAUUUUUUACCGCUAAUUUUUUUAUAUGUUUCCAAAAAUUAUAUUUUCAGUCAAAUUCAAUUUUUGGCACAUAAAAAAAAGAAAGAAAAAAGAGUUUAGGGAGUGAAAUAAGAAGAAGAGAGAACAAGGGACCAAGAAGAGUAGAGACUUAAAAAUAAUAAUGGGUAAUUAUGCAAAAAAAGAAAAAAGAAAUAAAUUCUAGGAUCAAGCAAAAUUAGAAAACUAUUGAUAGAUAUCCUACUCAUCAAGAAAAGGAAACUUAAUUAAUUAGAAUCCAUGGUCAAGAAGGAAACAAUAUAAUUACCUAAUAUUAUUUUUGCAGUUUAGUUUUUCAUGUUUUGCAAACAAUCCUGGGAAAUAUAAAUAAAGAAGAAAACACAAAGAGAAAGGGGACAAAAAAACAAAAAUGAUGGAGGAGAUUCUUGCAAAGAAAAACCUAGCUAACAAAAGAAAAAAUUAUUAAUAAAAAAAAAUCCUAAAAAUUGUUGCAGAAAAGAGGAGAAGACAAACCAAACUUUGCAGCCACUAAUCUCCCACCAUGAGCAGUAGUGACAUACAUCAUCGGUUAGAAGGCAAGAAGGAGAGGAGGGGCAACCUGUGGACUAGUUCACGCCCCCCGACACGCUUAUGAGUGAGAAAAACAUCCCAUAACACCUAUAGUUCCACCACAUCUUUUGUACAUGCGCCAACACUGUUUUAUUUUCUAGCACUGUUUCGCCUCAUUUCGACCUUCCGAGUCAAGUUCCAACCAACUCCAAUGAUUUUUAAAGGUCAAUUUUAAAUCUUAAUGUGUGAUUUACUUAUUUUUAGAAUUAUUUGUAUCAUAUUUGGUGGUUUUAAAAUUUUUAAAUGCGUUGUUGAAUAUUGUUGUUAUUUGUUUUAUUUUGAGUAAUUUGUGAGGUGUGAAUUUUUUUUUUUUGUUAGAUUAUAUUUGUUUACAUUAAUUGAGUUAUAUUGAAUUAUUUGUAAUAUGUGAGCGAAUAUUUUUUUUCUUCUGAUGUGUGGAUAUAUUUGUGGAGUUGUGUUGAGAUUUAUAUUUAAUAACAAUGUAUCAAUUGUUUUUUAUUUGAGAAAUCAACCCAAAAUUAGGCUACUCGUUAUUGACUUCUAUCUUUGAAUGUUAACUAUCAGGUAAUAAAAUUGGUGGAUAUACUUUCAUGUUUCUAGGUGAUUAUUAUCGUAUUUGUUUUUUUUUUCAUUGUGGCGUAUUGUCUGUGAUAUAAGUUGAGAGUUCAAAUUAGGAUUAGAUGACUCAUUCUCGGCUCAUAUCUGGUUGAUUAAAAGAUAUUUGAAUUGAAAAUUACAUGUUUAUGUCAAGUCCAAUGCCUAUCUUUUAUCAAAAUGGGUUAGUGCAACAAACAUGCAUCAUUUCAAAACAAACAAUAAUUCAACUUACCCUAGAUAUGAUGAAUAAGUUGAUUAUAUCUUUUAUAUUACAUAAUCAACCUUUUAUCUAGAAUUUCGAAUAAGAUCAAUUAGAGUUCCUAGUUAUUAUAAAAUUAAAUGACAGCCUCUACUUUUAAUUUUACCCUUUUUAUCAUAUUGCUCGUUGCGAUGUCGUAUGUGACAUAUAUAAUGGACAUAAUACGGAUAUGUGACUUUCUAGCAAACAAAUAUGGUAGAGAAAUUCUCCUUAAAUAUAUAAAAAAACAAGAGAUUGUUAAAAAAUAGAAUAAUUUUUUAUUUUUAAAAAUUGGAGUAAGAAAAUGGAAAACGAAAAACUCAAUGGUCAAAUAGAAUAUUUCUCCUUCUAGAAAUAGAAAAACUAGUUUUCUAAAUUUGCUCUAAUUUUGAAGAACACAUUUUAGAAAUUCCUCAUAAUUUUCCUAUUGUUUUUUAAACAAAAAAGGACAUAUAUAAUAUAUAUUUUUAUAUGCAAGCACUUUUUAGCAAUGUAAAAGAUUAAAAUUAUUUUUUUAUAUUUUUAUAUUUUAUUAGUAUCAUGAAUUUAAUUUUUAUUAUAAAUCUAAUAUAAAGAUUUUCUUAGUAAUAUAACUUUUUUCACAAUAACUAUUAAUUUGAAUAAUAAAAAAUAAAAAUUUUAUAGUUAGAUUAUUACAAAUACAAAAUAUUAUGAUUUUGAUUUUUUUAUAAAAAAUUUUGCAAUCUUUAUUUUUUUUUUUUGGUGAAAAAAGUCAUCUUUCAUAACUCUUCAUUUUGCAUUAUUGCAUGUGGGACAUAUAAUAUCUUCCCUAUAUCCCACGCACGAAGAACAACAAUGUGAAUUCUAGUUCCAUUUGGUGUCAUGGGAUGGUUUUCUUGAAACUAAACUCUAUUACAAUAAAAACGCUUAGGAAAACUCUUUUCCUAUUAAAUCUUCUUAAUAAUACAAAACCUUUUUUUUUGUGUUAAUACUAUCACUGGUCUAUCUACUCCCUUGGUUUUCUUGGACUUUGCCUUCUUCUCACCAUAAACCUAUACACACUGCUUCAUUUUUUGUGGGAACUUAUAAAUUAGUGUUAGAAUAGAAUUCUAGGAAAUGAUGUCGUUGUUAAAUUACAUUCCUUACUUUCUCUUACGUUUAUAGUGGAGAUUGCGUUAGGAGAGGUUUCCAUAUAUUAAUUCAUGAGCAAGCUCUCUCAAGUACAGGCCUUUUAGACCUGAAUCUGAUAGCAAUAUCUUUUGUGAUACUGUACCGUUAUGAAAAUCUCUGUAAUGUGGAAAUUUCUAUUACUAUUAAAAUCUAGUAAAAGUCCAUGCUAUCUUAUCUUGUUCUCAUUUACUCAAAUCUCUGUAAUGGUAAAAUAUUUUUCUACUAUAUUGAAAAUAAAUACUACACCCUCGUUAACAUGAUCAAACAAUAGGAAGCAACUGCAGCUUCAACAAUUUUCCCUCUGUUUUUUUCCCCUUGUUUUCUCCUCCUGAUAGAAAGGCGAACAAGUUUGAGUGCUCACAUUAAGAGCCACCAGUAGUGUACUUAUGUAUUACUAUAAUAUAUAUCCUCACAUUUGGAACUCAUUUUUCAUGCACGCUCCAAUUCCCUUUUGUUUCCCUUAUCAAGAAAACAAAAUCUGGGUUUGACAUUCGGGAAUCAAAAACUCGUUAAUUUGAGGAGUCUUUUUUUUUUUAUUAUUUGAUUUAUUAGAUCUUAUACUUGAAUUUUCAUUUUAGCUGUCUGUUAAGAUUUCUUUGAUUCAAGUUCCAUAACCAAGAAAGAGGAAACAAAUUCUGGGGUUUGUUUUGUUUUUGUUGUUGUUUAAGUGUACUGAUCCAUCAUCAAUGGAGAGUGCUGAUAUUUAUAAAGCUAAUAUCAGGUUCUUCGGUAUGGAGAAACACUACCGUGCAAGCAUUUUCUAUAUCUUCAAGAGAAGAAGAUGAUGAAGAGGCUAUAAAAUGGGCAGCACUUGAGAAACUGCCUACUUAUGAUCGUUUAAGGAAAGGUAUAUUGAUGAGUGCAUCAAGAGGUGUAAUUAGUGAGGUGGAUAUUGAAAACCUUGGAGUCCAAGAGAGAAAACAGCUGCUGGAAAGGCUGGUCAAAGCUGCAGACGAGGAUAAUGAGAAGUUCUUGUGGAAACUCAAGAGUCGUAUUGAAAGGUAAAAUAUUCUCCUUGUUUCUCCUUCGGUAUGUGCAUUUACUUUGUUUAGUUUGCAGAGAAAAUGUUAGAAAGGAAUCAAGCUCUUAGAUCGAAACCUGUACUUCUAUGACAUAACUUGACAAGGGAUUGAUCUAAAAAGAAAAGAUGGAUUUUGUUCUCCCUCCUUUUGCUUGGAAUACAGAGGAACUCUGUUUUGUCUGUUGAAGCUCUUGAUUUUUCUGUAAUUUUUGGUGUUUCAGGGUUGGAAUUCAGUUUCCAACAAUUGAGGUUCGGUACGAGCAUCUAAAUAUUGGAGCUGAAGCUUAUGUAGGACGUAGUGCUUUGCCUUCAUUUGCUAAGUUCAUUUUUAAUAUAAUAGAGGUAACGACAUUAGCAAACAUUUAACAUCAGUUAUUGCUAAUGAAACAUGAACUUCUUUUUUAUUUGGUCAUGCUUUUCUUGUCAACUAAUCACCUCUCUAUCAAUUUUGAAGGGUUCAUUGAUUUCUCUUCAUAUCCUUCCAAAUAGAAAGAAACCAUUCACCAUCCUUAAGGAUGUUAGCGGAAUCGUCAAACCAUCAAGGUAAGAUGAUCAUGAUCUAAAAUCUGUUUGCUUACAAAUUCCUUCAAUAAUUAGUAGCCAAUUCUUAAUUCUUGUGUUAUUGAUGUACAUGUUAUAGAUUGACUUUGCUUUUGGGUCCUCCAAGUUCUGGGAAGACCACACUGUUGUUGGCAUUGGCUGGAAAACUCGAUCCUAGUCUGAAGGUUGUGAUAUAUUCUUGUAAAUUUGUAUAAUCCAUGAGGAUUAGGUUUAAAUUUUCUGUUUAAUUUGAAAAGCUGGAUUCUCUCGUGUAGCUUUCUGGUCGUGUGACUUACAAUGGUCAUGAGAUGAAUGAGUUUGUACCACAAAGAACAGCAGCCUAUAUCAGUCAACAUGAUCUCCACAUAGGAGAAAUGACCGUAAGGGAAACUUUGGCGUUCUCUGCCAGGUGCCAAGGGGUUGGAUACUUGCAUGGUUAGAAUAAUGGACUAAACUCUCUUUGCAUUUUCCAUCAGAAUCAUAAGUUACUCUGGUGAUCAAUAACUAGAGAAAAUUUUGGCAUUUGACAGAGAUGUUGGCGGAGUUGUCCAGAAGAGAGAAAGAAGCCAACAUUAAGCCUGAUCCUGAUGUUGAUGUCUUCAUGAAGGUGAGGAAAGGUAUUAUUAUUUUCUGUAUAAUUGUUUGAAAAAUGACAAGGAAAGGACACAGUAACAUUUUUAUAAAACAACAUCGUUAUUCAGUCCAUCAAUGUUCUUAUCAUUUGAUAUUUAAACUGUAUGUAAAGGCCCUUCUUUUUUUACUUCACCAAUUUAUUAAAUCUCUUGAUCUUUGACUAGAACUGUUAUAAGAAGUUACAAUUUCUGCUGUUUCUGAUAUUGCAGGCAGUAGCAACACAAGCUGAAGAGGCCAAUGUCAUCACCGACUAUGUCUUAAAGGUAGUAUCAGGGUGCAGUACUCUAGCAUCAUUAAAAUCUUCAGAAACCAUGAAAAAUGAUAUCCCUUCAAUUUUUUGUGCCUUCUCUAAAAAUUACAGAUAUUAGGAUUGGAAGUCUGCGCAGAUACCAUGGUAGGGGAUGAAAUGAUAAGGGGUAUCUCUGGAGGGCAAAGGAAGCGUGUUACAACUGGUAACGCUCUCCAUUAGUCCAAUCCUAGUAUCAGGGACCAAUUACUUCUUUUUUUUUUCGUUCUACUAAUCUUCAGUAAUGGAUCAUAGGUGAAAUGCUGGUCGGACCAUCAAGGGCAUUGUUUAUGGAUGAGAUUUCUACUGGCUUGGACAGCUCAACAACUCACCAAAUUGUGAACUCAUUAAAGCAAACUAUUCACAUUCUCAAUUGCACUGCCGUCAUCUCGCUUCUCCAGCCAGCACCGGAGACUUAUGACCUCUUUGAUGACAUUAUUCUCCUGUCAGAUGGCCAAAUUGUGUACCAGGGUCCUCGUGAAAAUGUGCUUGGAUUUUUUGAACAUAUGGGCUUCCAGUGUCCUGAAAGAAAAGGCGUGGCAGAUUUUUUGCAAGAAGUAAGCAAAAAGAAGGCAGUUGUGUUUGGCGCCUGUUUUACAAUAUGAUCUUCUAUUGGCUAUAAGAAGAGCCUUGUAUGUUAUCAUAGUAAAUGAAUUCAUUGCAGGUGACAUCAAGGAAAGAUCAAGAGCAGUACUGGGCACGUAAAGAUCAGCCUUACAAGUUUGUCACCGUCAACGAAUUUGCUGAGGCAUUUCAAUCAUUCAGCGAGGGACGAAGGAUCAUAGAGGAGCUUUCAAUCCCAUUUGACAAGACCAAGAACCAUCCAGCGGCAUUGGCAAACAAAAAGUAUGGAGCUGGAAAGAUGGAUCUGCUUAAAGCUAACUUCUCAAGAGAAUACUUGCUCAUGAAGAGGAACUCAUUUGUCUACAUCUUCAGGAUAUCCCAAGUAAUUAUCGACUGUCAUUACAAUAUCUAAGUUUCUUUCACUUUCGAAUUUUGCGUACAGCGUGACACCUUUUCUCUUCAUAUCAGCUUACAAUAUUGGCAAUCAUUUCAAUGACACUCUUCUUCCGGACAAAUAUGCAUCGAGAUACAGUCUCGGAUGGUGGAAUUUAUACUGGUGCUUUGUUCUUCACCGUGGCCGCGAUCAUGUUUAAUGGUACGGCAGAGCAAUCUACGACCAUCGCCAAGCUUCCUGUAUUUUACAAGCACAGGGGACUCCUGUUCUUUCCUCCAUUGGCAUAUUCAAUUCCUUCAUGGAUCCUGAAAAUUCCCAUUUCAUUUGUUGAAGUUGCUACUUGGGUGUUCAUAACCUAUUAUGUAAUCGGAUUUGAUCCAAACAUUGCGAGGUAAAUAAGAAUUCUUAAUUUUUUGUAAACUUGUACCAGAAUCCAUUCUGAUCCAGCUGUUAUAACAAGGUUGUGUUUCUUUCUUUCAUUUUUUGCAGGCUUUUUAAGCUGUACCUGGUGCUUGUGCUAAUUAACCAGAUGGCAUCUGCACUAUUUCGAUUUAUUGCUGCAGUUGGAAGGAACAUGAUUGUUGCCAACACCUUCGGGUCAUUUGUGCUCCUUGCAAUUUUUGCAUUGGGUGGCUUCGUCUUGUCAAGAGGUAUGAUGAGUGUACUAUUGUACUUGGAGGAAUUCAUCUUCUAUGUUUUUUGUUUAAUGGAACAGAGCAAAUAAAGAAAUGGUGGAUAUGGGGUUACUGGAUUUCACCAUUGAUGUACGGGCAGAACGCAAUAGUAGUGAAUGAGUUCCUUGGAAAUAGUUGGAGUCAUGUAUGGUUUCUUUAACUCACCGUUUGUAUAUUUGUGCCAUCGGCUCUCAAUAAUCAACUGGUAUCUGAAGUUAUUUUUCGAAUCACAGAUUCCUGCAGGCUCCACAGAACCACUAGGAAUCCAAGUUUUGAAGAGUCGUGGGUUCUUUACAGAAGCAUAUUGGUAUUGGAUAGGAACAGGGGCGACAGUAGGAUUCAUACUACUAUUCAAUCUUUGCUUCGUUUUGGCUCUCACUUUCCUCAAUGGCAAGUGUCGUUAACUUCUCAAAUUCACACCUCUUGAAAGUUGGAUCUUAUUUUAAUUUGCUGCAAAUCAUGUUGGCAGCAUUUGAUAAGCCUCAGGCUGUCAUAUCUGAAGAGCCCGAAAGUGAUGAAUCUGCCCGCAAAACCGAACGAGCUAUUCAGUUAUCGAACCAUGCAAGUAGUCACAGAACUAACACAGGUAAAAGAACUCCAUUAAUUAAGUGUGUUUGUCCUCCAUUUUUUAAGCUAUUGGUUACUAAUUACCAAUAUAAUUUCAAUUUCUCAGCAGAGGGUGGAGUUGGAAUUAGCAGAAGUAGUUCAGAGGCUAUUGGAGAUGUCAGCAAUAACAGGAAGAAAGGAAUGGUUCUUCCAUUCGAACCACAUUCCAUUACAUUUGAUGACGUUAUUUACUCCGUUGACAUGCCACAGGUAUUGAGAUUUAGUAAAGUAGGAUUAUAUCUCACUUUGAUGUGAUACGAUUCUGAGAACUUGACAAAACUGAUCAUAGGGGUAUUGAAAUUUUCAGGAAAUGAAAGUUCAAGGAGUUGUUGAAGAUAGAUUGGUGCUUUUGAAUGGUGUGAAUGGAGCUUUCAGGCCUGGUGUCCUUACAGCUUUGAUGGGUGUUAGUGGUGCUGGAAAAACAACUUUGAUGGAUGUGUUGGCUGGUAGGAAAACUGGUGGAUAUAUUGACGGAGAAAUCAAAAUUUCAGGGUACCCCAAGAAGCAAGAAACUUUUGCUAGAGUUUCUGGAUACUGUGAGCAAAAUGACAUUCACUCUCCACAAGUUACGGUUUAUGAAUCCUUACUCUACUCAGCUUGGCUUCGUCUACCACCUGAAGUUGACUCUGAAACCAGAAGGGUAGGUGCUCUCUGCCUUAAAUAUGUUUUAGGCAUCUGGGAAUCGUUGUGCAUGUUAGGGUUCUGUGAAAUUUUCUUUAUAUCGUUCUUGUUUCCUUUUUGGCUUGCUUGUCAUCUGAUCAAGUUCAACCACUUAAUCAGCAUUCCCUGGUUGAACAGGCAUUUCCAUUUUAUAUUUUAUCCUGUGAUCAAGAUCGCUGAACCUGUUAAUCAGCAUUCCCUAGUUGAACAGGCAUUUCCAUUAUAUAUUUUAUCCCGUGAUGAAGAUCACUGAACCUGUUCUAAAUAGCUAAGAAGGGUACUGGUGAAGUUGAUAUUUGUAGUGAUGGUGCUAGAAAGCUUCAAUUCAAUUCAAUUCAGCCAGACACGCCCAAUUAACCUAUACUUUGCCAAAAUUGCUUCCAGAUGUUCAUUGAGGAAGUCAUGGAUCUUGUGGAGUUGAAUCCACUGCGCCAUGCAUUAGUGGGGUUGCCUGGUGUGAAUGGUUUGUCCACUGAGCAGCGCAAGCGGCUAACCAUUGCGGUUGAGCUAGUUGCAAACCCUUCUAUCAUAUUCAUGGAUGAGCCAACUUCAGGGCUAGAUGCUAGAGCCGCUGCCAUUGUGAUGAGAACAGUUAGGAACACUGUGGACACAGGAAGAACAGUUGUAUGCACCAUCCAUCAGCCUAGUAUUGACAUAUUUGAAGCUUUUGAUGAGGUAAGAAAUGUUAGCAAAUUAUCUCUAUCAGAACUUUUCCAUGAUUUUAUCACCAUAACAGUCUGCAUUAUUUAAAAUGGCAUGUAGCUAUUCCUGAUGAAACGAGGAGGACAAGAGAUAUAUGUGGGGCCUCUGGGUCGCCAUUCUACCCAUCUAAUAAAAUAUUUUGAGGUAUGUUGACGUGAUUAAUUAUCAAAUAACACAAACAGUUGUAUCUUCAGACCUAUACUCAGACUAACCAUCGACUAAGUCAUAUACCUUUCUAUUUGUGAAGGCAAUUGAAGGAGUCAGCAAAAUUAAAGAUGGUUAUAAUCCAGCAACUUGGAUGCUGGAAGUUUCUAGUUCAACACAAGAAAUGCCUUUGGAGGUUGAUUUUUCUAACAUUUACAAGAAUUCAGAUCUGUUCAGGUCAGAUAAAGUACUUGGCUAAGUGGUACAAACUGAAAAAUAUGCUAAUUAAGAAUUUGGUGAUGAAUUUGUCUAAAAUUUGUGGAUGGUGUGUGACAUAAUUCAGGAGAAACAAAGCUCUCAUUGCGGGAUUAAGCACACCUGCUCCUGGCUCCACAGACCUUUGUUUCCCUACGAAGUACUCAACAUCAUUUUUCACACAAUGUAUGGCUUGCUUAUGGAAGCAACAUUGGUCAUAUUGGAGGAAUCCACCGUACACUGCCGUGAGAUUUCUUUUCACAACCUUUAUAGCGUUGAUGUUCGGGACAAUGUUCUGGGACCUUGGAUCCAAAUUGUAAGCCACAACGGGGUUCUUUGAAACAAUUUAAAAGUUCAGACUUUGAUGAUUUGCUUCGACGUGCUGAUCUAAUUUCUCUCACAAACUGUAGGAAUAGCACCCAAGAUCUUUCGAAUGCAAUGGGUUCGAUGUAUGCAGCUGUUUUCUUCAUUGGUGUCCAAAACGCAUCAUCCGUCCAGCCAGUGGUGGCUGUUGAGAGAACUGUCUUCUACAGGGAAAGAGCUGCCGGAAUGUAUUCAGCUUUGCCCUAUGCCUUUGCACAGGUAACACAAUUCAUCAGGCGUUGCAGAGACUUCACUUGUCGUCAAGUAGAAUGUUAUGCAUGUUUUCUUAACCAAACUUCCAUCUUGUGUUGCAGGUCCUGAUCGAGCUUCCAUAUGUUUUUGUUCAAGCUUCAGCCUAUGGCUUUAUAGUUUAUGCGAUGAUUGGAUUUGAAUGGACUGUUGCGAAGUUCUUCUGGUACCUGUUCUUUAUGUACUUCACAUUAUUAUACUUCACCUUCUACGGAAUGAUGGCUGUUGCAAUAACUCCAAACCACCACAUUGCUGCCAUAGUUUCCUCUGCAUUUUACGGAAUAUGGAACCUAUUCUCAGGGUUUAUAGUUCCUCGGCCCGUAAGUGUUCGCUAUCUUACCAUUUCAAAUUCAAAAUCUCCGUAGUGUCGGGUUACCUUGUGGAAUAAUUUUGUGAUUCAUUUGUGUGCUUCGGUCUGUAACAGAGCAUACCUAUAUGGUGGAGAUGGUACUAUUGGGCUUGUCCAGUAUCAUGGUCCUUGUAUGGAUUGCUUGUAUCACAGUUUGGAGAUAUACAGAAAGACCUCACCGAAACUCAAACAGUGAAACAAUUUGUGAAG
This 54612-nucleotide long non-coding RNA is filed under the name Populus tremula. RNAcentral's name for it is "long non-coding RNA (PTRE_LNC000037)". Lineage: Eukaryota; Viridiplantae; Streptophyta; Magnoliopsida; Malpighiales; Salicaceae. The record is from RNAcentral.